GAACUUUCUGUUGUUUUCAUGGAUGGCAUUUCAACAUCAAAGACAUGGAUAGAUUAGUUUAAGAUAUUGGAAGUAAGUAAAGGAUAAAAAUAUAAGCUUAACAAUUUAAACUUACUGAAGCUUUAGCUUAAGAAUAUUAAUGCUUUAACUUUUUUUUGAUAAGGUAAAGGUUUAUUGGCUAAGUACCAAGAAGGUACCAAAACCAAAAGUUACAAAAGACUGCUGGGAAUAUCCAUACAGUCAAUUACAACAUUUCCCUAGCAGCUCCAAAAACUCCAUUUAUUGAUCUAUAUUAUCAAGGAAACUACUUUUACACCACCAAACAAAUUAUGUAAACACUUGUUUUAACUCUAGAAAUAUGGUCUUUUUGCCCAUCAAAACAAGCUUUAUUCUUUCUAGCCAGAUAGUCCAGAAUAUGCACAAAGGUAUAGUUCUCCAGAUUUGCUUCAAAGUUUUGUGUGUUCUCUGGUGCUGCCAACUCUCCAAUAAUUCCUUCACACGCUGAGGCAUGAUCCAAGAGAUCCCGCAAAUACUGAAGAAAAAUUCCCAACAUUGUCUAGCUAUUCUGCAAUGCAAAAGAAGGUGAUUCACAGUCUCCAAAUCUUCUUCACAUAAGUAAUAUCUAUUACUUAGUGCAAAACCCUUUUUCUGAAGAUUAUCCUGUGCAAGGCAAGCUUCCCAUGCUGCAAUCCAACCAAAACAAGCUACCUUUAUAGGUGCCUUAGUUCUCCAAAUCCCUUUCCAUGGCCAACUAGUAUCCCAAAAUCUCGUUUGCUUCAUUAGAAGGCUAUAGCACUUUUUAACUGAGAAGGUUCCAUCAUUACUAGCUAUCCAUACUAGUGAAUCCCCCUUGCUCUGAUCAAUGUGGGUAUAAUCCAGUUGAAGGAGCAAUUGACAGAAGUCGUCAAUUUCCCAAUCAUUCAAAUUCCUUCUAAAAUUCAUCUGUCAUCCCGUGUUGGAAUAAAAAUCAGCCACAACUCCAUCUUUGUUAUUGCAACAACUGAAAAAAAUAGGAAAUCUUUGUUUCAAGCACACAUCACCCGUCCAUAAGUCCGUCCAAAAUCGAAUUUUGGCUCCAUUCCCCACCUCCAAUUUGGUGAAUUGUUGAAACUCGGCCCAUAAUUUACAAAUCCCUUUCCAUACUCCCCCUCUAGAGUAUGAAAUAUUUGAAGGGGGAUUCCAGCCUUGUCUGCUACCAUAGAUUGCUUCAAUUAUUUUGAUCCAGACCACCACUUCGUUCCUGCUAAAUCUCCAAAGCCACUUAAACAACAUGUUUUUGUUGUGCAAUCUCAAGUUUCUAAUUCCCAAUCCACCCCCUUCCUUUGCCCUAGUGACCACUAGCCAUCUAACUAAGUGAAACUUUUUAUUGCUACUAUUUCCUUCCCAUAAGAACUUAUUCCUCAUAGAGUUCAUCUUUCUUUCAAUUGCUUCAGGCAUAGCAAAUAAUGACAUUAGAUAGGAAGGCAUACUAUCUAAAAUGCUGUUAAUCAAUGUGAGUCUUCCCCCAAGUGACAAAUAUUGUUUCUUCCAGGGAGUUAAUUUGUUGGCACAUCUAUCCAAAACUCCUUGCCAAAUAUUCUGGUCAUUCCUUCUCACUCCCAAUGGAAAUCCAAGGUAAACUAUAGGGAAUUUUUCCACCUGACACCCCAAAAUAUUUGCCAAGUCUCCUAUACAGUCAUCCUCAUUUAUACUAAAUAUACAACUCUUUCCCAGAUUUACUUUCAAUCCAGACAGUGCUUCAAAAAUCAGUAGAAUUCCUCUAAGAUAAAGAAAUUGUUCUUUAUCUGCCUCACAUAAUAAAUGAGUGUCGUCUGCAUACAAAAUAUGAGACAACAUUACAUUGUUACAAUUGUUUCUCCCAAUACACAACCCCUUGAUCCAACCCAAUUGUUCAGCCCUUUUUAACAAGUUGCUCAACAAUUCCAUUAUUAAAACAAUAGAUAAGGAGAUAAGGGGUCUCCUUGUCUCAACCCUCUUUGAGACUUGAAAUAGCCAUGAGGACUUCCGUUUAUUAAGAUGGAAACUCUAACUGUAGAAAUACAGAAUCUAAUCCAGUCAAGCCAUUUGUUCCCAAAAUUCAUCAACUUCAUGACAUUGAUCAAGCAAGCCCAAUUAACAUGAUCAUAAGCCUUUUCAAGAUCAAGCUUGCAGGCUACACCUCUCUUCUUCAUUUUCAACAAAUGUUCCACACUUUCGUUAGCCACCAAAGCUGCAUCUAUUAUUUGUCUACCUUUAAUGAAGGAACUCUAAUGAUGAGAGAUCAAAUUGUCAACGACCAGUUUCAAUCUUUCAGCCAACAACUUAGCCAAUAUCUUAUAUACACUUCCUAAAAGACUAAUAGGUCUGAAGUCUUUUAUCUCCACUGCUCCCUUCUUUUUUGGUAUCAAAGCUAUGAAGGUAGAAUUUAUGCUUCUAUCAAAGGUGCCUUUCCGUUGAAAAGCAUCCACAACAUUCCAUAUGUCAAAGGUUGACAGUAUUCCAACACUUCUGGAAGAAAUGAAGAUUAAAACCAUCCGGACCUGGUGCUUUGUCACCAUCAAAAGAGUUGAUUACUCUUUCCACUUCUUCAAAAGUGAAAGGCCUCUCCAACCACUCUUUAUCUUCGUCUGAUAAUUUUCUCAGAUUAUCACCUUCCCAGCUUGGUCUCCAAACUUCAGUUUCAGUAAAAAGAUCUUGAUAAAAUCCCUGAAUAUGGUCCUUAAUCAACUCAUCAUCCUCAACAGUUCGAACAUGAUGAUAGAUAUAAGACACAUCAAUUAAAACGAAUGAAUCACGACGACGUUAAUGAUAACAAUAACUAUGCCUUAAUUCCAAACAAAUUGAAAUCGAUUACAUGAUGAUAUAUUUAGCCCCUGGGCUUAACUCAACCUCAUAGGGUAGCUUAUAAGGGGAGGGGAGGAUUGCCCAAGUCCAUAUAAGGAGACCAAACCAACCAUCCCCCAUUGAUGUGGAAGACUUAACACAUGAAUCCCCACUAAUCAUAUUUCUUUAUAAACACAAGAAAUAACGUGAGCAAUACAUAUUUGAUAAUUGCAAUUUUGUAACUAUAAACAUGUCAUGACUCAAUCUAGGAACAUGACAGAUACUUUGCUUAUCCACCUUCUAUAUGGGAUAGAUAGUCCCACUAUUUUAGUACAAAAUGGUUUCCAGGACUAACUAAUACUCAAAAGCAAACGCAUAGUAGAAUAAUCCUGCAUUUUAUACUAGGACUGUAAUCCCUUAUUCCAUCAACCAAACAACCCUUGAAUAUGUAUAAAAGUUUAAUUUAAAAAAUCAAACUAAUAACACUUGAGGUAUUUGCCCUAGAAUCCUAUGAGUCUGCCUCUGGAACUACUUUAAUACUAAGUCCUACAAACAAGCCUUGAACUAAAACAUCAUGUAGCAGAUAUAAAAUCAUUAAGAUAAAGUAAGAGGUUAGGUAGCUCACCAUCUAAUCUUUGUUUCGGAGGGCGACCUGGACCACGUCGUAAACCCUGGCCGUGUAAUCGUAGAGAAGGGCCGAAAGGGGUGGGAACAAAGAAAUCUGGGGAGUCCCUUUUUCUUGAAUUGUGCCUCCUACCAAGAGAAGUCCGAUCACCAACUCUGCGUUGAUGAUCGUCCAUGAUGGUAGGAUCACAAAUACUGUUUGUAGGUGAAAUCGGGGCCAAAGGGCUUGGAAUCACAGGUGAAGGUGGUAUAUCGUUUUUCUCCGCCGACAUUCUUACUUCUGCUUGAAAAGGGGUUUUCUGAAUGGAAAUUUGAGGUGAUAGCUCUAAAAUCUAAGCGAAGAAGGAAAGAUCUUUAACAGAGAAAUAAUGGCCGAAAUAGACAAUUUCUUGAUAGGAAUAAAAAUGGAUUUUGGUUGAUGAAGUAGUUCAGUGUGGGAAAAAAAACUCUAGAAUGUUCUUACAUUAAAUUUUAGAUUCAAUAAUAUAAUCCGAUUGCGCCUCAAAUCUGGUAAUCUUGGUCAUGUCAUACAAGGCAAGUAUAUAAAAUGAAGAAGAAAAAAAAAGUCAUGAAAAUUUUACUAAAUAUCAAACAUGACGUUCCUUUCAAACAAAUUAAAAAGAAAAAUAAGACUCAUAAAUUAAAAUGAAUGAAUCACAAUGACACUGAUGAUAACAAUAACCAAUUCAAAACAAAUUGACAUCUAUUACAUGAAUCCCCCACUAAUCACAUUUCUUCAUAAACACAAAACGACAUGAGCAAUAUAUUUUCAAUCACUAUGAUAUAUUAGCUAGCAUAUAACUUAAAUUAUACGAACUUCAGGCGAUAGGUGGCAGAUUCUAAGUACUAAGUUCAAAAUGAUAUUAAGGAAAACUUACUAAAGCUUUAGUGAUACUGUGAUAGAUACAUGCUUUAAACUUAAAAGCGUACUGAGAAAUGAAAACAAUCUGUAUGUUUGGAAGUUAGAACAUAAUGAAAACAAACUAAAUCUUUUUACUUCUGAUGAUGUAUGCUUCAAAUUUAGAACUUGAUAGAUGCUUUAGAGUUGCUUAAAAAAUAGAGCUAACAGUGGAACUCACUCUAUUGUUAUAUCAAGAGGACUAGUUCAUUUGGUGAGUUCUCUGCAGUUGAGCCAACUGUGGAAAUCACUCUACAGUUAGUCAUUCGUCCUUCUUCUUGUAUCAACGGACUAACAUUCUUCUAUUGAGGGACUGACAUUGGUAUCUUGAACGACAGUAGUACGAGGACCUUCAUCAGUACCUCCUUGAAUAAUAUCAGGUGCAACAUCUUCAAUUUCUGUCUUCACUUCUUUUAUUAAUCCUGACUGUGACUGCAUAGCUGGAGAGUAUUGGUUUGGCCUAUCUGACUUUUCACCACAGCUCUUAUCCGACAUCCUUUAAGCUUUGGUUGCUGCUUCGGACUGAUAAAUUGAUGCCACGCGAUCUUGAAGACCAACUGCAGGGGUGUUACACAUGUAAAUGAGCAAAUUAAUAGUAAUCUGAUCACCAAACCAACAAGUUAAAACAAUGGAGCUGUCUAUUUUCCAUUAGUGAAUAAACAAAGUGAACUCCGACAAAUAAUUCUUAAAUUUCUAUUAUCAGAGUGAGCGACUAAGUAGGCGUUUUGACAUAGUAUUGGUUGAAACUUGAAACCAAAAUAGGAGAUUUUUGUUACAUAUCCACUUUUUGAAGACAUUAACAUAAUCAAAUGCAAAUGUGCAUAUAUAGUCAAAUUACAGGAUCAGAAGAACACAGUAGUUUUGAGGAUUUCCUUGAAGCAAAAGACAGUAGUUAAGUCAUUCUCGUACUAGAACAUAGGAAGUUGACAUAAAACAGAAGUAAAAAAGCAGUCUAAUGCUGCAAGAUUGUACAUGCUAAAAGACAGAAAGCAUGACAAGAAAAUUUAAGGAGAAUCUACUACAUGACGAUAACCAAAUGAAGAAAUAAUUCUUGUCUGCUGCUGCAAAUAUGAACUCCCAAAACAGUUCAAGAUGGUCAAGAGGACUUCCAGUUCAUUUAGUAGGGAGCUUGUUCAAUGAGUAUCAAAAAUCCAACUUAUCGAGAUUAUCAAGAAAUGUGGAUCGUAGGUGUCGAGUGGUGGAUUCAAUUCCCUGGAGAGCUGCAUUCUUGCGCUGCUCAAUUUCCCUUUGCUUUGCUUGAGCUGCCUCCAACUGGGUGCCAAGUUCUUCCAUCUUGGCUUUUGCAACUUCAUGGGCUUCUUUGUAUUUUAUUUCGUUAUGUUUCAGACACUCUUCUUCAUGUUCGAUACGUGCUACCUCUGUCUUCAGAUCCUUGAUUUGCCUCUUCAAAGUUUUCUUUUUAUUCUUGGCCAUCUCCAGUUCUCCUCGAGUACGCCCCAAAUCUUCCUCAACAUCAUUUACACUAAGUACAUCAUUUUCAUAUUUUUUCUGCAAUGCUGACAAAGACAACAUAGUUUCUUCUUUCUCCAUGUCUUGCAAAUCACAGCAAUAUUUAAUGUGUUCUGCGACAUCUCUAUAAGAAGAGCCAUAAUCUGCACCAAGCCCUUUCAAAUAUUUAAAGGUAGAAUUGGCCUGAUGGACCAUGUAGUCAACGUCAUUCCCAGAAGUAAGCAGAUUCUGCACCAAUAAAGACUCGACUUUAACAAUUACUUUCUUCGAGUUUUCAUCAAGAAUGUGCUGGAGUGUAUAAUUUGUCUUUGGAGGAUGCUUCAGUAUUCUUGACGGAUUUACAUUUGACUUUGUCCCCUCUUCACCAGAGGGAACUUCCAAAGGCCUAUAUCUGGUUGACUCCAAUAGAGAUGGGGCAACUGCCUCUGGAGUACACCAAUCACUGGUUGACCCCAAUGGAAUUGGGGCAACUGCCUCUGGAGUACUUGUUGUAACUGAAAUUUGCAAUGGACUAUCUCUGGUCGACCCCGAUAGUGAUGCUGGAGGUGGUGAAACUGCUGGAGCUAACAGCAUUAACAAUUUAAAGUUAAAACUAAGGCUAGUUUAUAAGAUAUAUGCUUUAUAUUUACGACUUAUUGAAAACAUGCUAAAUCUUUAGUUUUAAAAAAUGUAUACUUUGAAGUUAGAACUUACUGAAAAAUGUGAACUUUUUGUGUUAUCUUUUUGUUAGCAUACAUAUUAUUCACCAAAAAGCUUCAUAUUUGUGACACAAUUCCAAUUCAUAUUGGCAAACUUUAAAGUUUUAUACAUGACUCAAGCUCAAAAUCAUUAAUAAGAGGCAAAAGUAUGGCGAAAUGAGGAGGCUCGCCUUCUGAUCGCUGUUUUCUGGGGAGACCUGGUCGACGUCGCAAAGGUUGGGAGGCUGGACUUUUUGUUGCCACCAUGGAUGGCAUUUCAACAUCAACAUGGAAAAAUUUAGCUAAAGAAAUUGGAAGAAGUAAAGGAAAAAGAUUUAUACUAAACAGUUAUAGAACUUACUGAAGCAGGAUGUUUUCAAGUUAGAAUUUCUUGAAAACUAACUGAACCUUUAGUUAAAAAAAGAUGUAAGCAUUUAGUUUGUGAGGCCGAGUGUUCCAAAGUUAGAACUUCACAUAUGCUUUUUUGUGGUUUCAACUUUUUAUAUCAACUAUACCUCAGUCCUAAUCAAAUUGGGAGUACCAUAUGAACUCUUACCAAUCAGUUUAAAGUCACCUCAUUCACUAGUAUCAUUUAUAUAGGAAUGAAAAAUAUAGCGAAUCAGGGGCGGAUGUAGGCUUUAACAAAUGGCUUCCAAAAACCGAGUAGCUUUGGCCCAAAUCCCAUAUAUGUGAUAAGAUAUCAAGUUUUCACACGGAUUGACCCUAUUUUGGGGUGGUCUUUAGUUUUUGCUCCUGCUACUCAUUUAAUGAAAAUUUGUGAGUCAAAAUACCGUUAUCUAUGACCUAAUUUAAAGUUAUCCAGCUAAAGGGCUAAAAUUAAAGAUCACAUAUUUCAGGAGCAAAAAUUCAAGACUACAUACUAGCAAAAACUAAACACCAUCUCAAAAUAAAGGCAUUCAUGCAAAUGACACACAAGAAAUCAAUAUAUAUACAACAAAAAAAAAAAAACAGCCCNNNNNNNNNNNNNNNNNNNNNNNNNNNNNNNNNNNNNNNNNNNNNNNNNNNNNNNNNNNNNNNNNNNNNNNNNNNNNNNNNNNNNNNNNNNNNNNNNNNNNNNNNNNNNNNNNNNNNNNNNNNNNNNNNNNNNNNNNNNNNNNNNNNNNNNNNNNNNNNNNNNNNNNNNNNNNNNNNNNNNNNNNNNNNNNNNNNNNNNNNNNNNNNNNAAAAAAAAAAAACAGCCCGAUGCACUAAAGCUCCAGCUAUGAGCAGGGUUUGGGGAAGGGCCCGAGAACAAGGACCUAUUGUAUGCAGCUUAGGUGGUUGAUCUAGAAUUCGUAGAACUACUUUAACACUAAACCCCACAAAGAAACAACAACAAUAACAGCAUACCUACUAACAGCAGAAUAUACACAAAUCUUACCAGUACCUCAUAGUACAGUGAAAAACCCUCGACUCAAGUGAAACAAAUCAAAGUAGUAAUAAAAGGAAAAAUGACCUAGAAAAACACACAGUAAUAUCAACAAAAUAGCGAGAUCACCUAAACAUAAUAAACAACAUAUAAAAGCCCACAAAUAAAAACAAUGUUACUCAUAUAGUACUAGAUAUAUAAAAUCAUAUCUCUAUCUCACCAUCUGCCCUCUGUUUCGGAGGGCGACCUCGACCCCGUCGUAAACCUUGGUUGUGUCGUCGUGGAGAAGGGCGAAAAUGGGUAGGAACAUAGAUAUUUGGGGGAGCCCUUUUUCUUGAACUGCACCUUGUAGGUACAAUCUUAGCCAAAGGUAUUGUAAACCCAGGUUUUAUAUCAGAAUCAGAGUUUCCCUCUAACAUUCUUAGUGAUUUUUGCACUGCAAAUAAAAAAUAAUAGCUCUAGCAAAGCAGAAGCAAAGCAAAGAGCUUUAAGAGAGAAAAUGGAUGAAAAAGAUUGUAUCUUUGAGAGAAAUAAAGGUGAAGAUAGUGACAAAAAUGGUGAUGUUUUGUUGCAGAGAAGUAAAUACAAGUGUGGGAAAAAAAAGGACAUGCAAAUAUUAGAAAAAAUUUACUAUGGGAGAGGUAUAACUUGUAUUAGUUGUGUGAGGGUAUUUUUUAUUGCAAUUAUAUUCUGAUUUAUGAGAUUCAUUUUUUACUUUUAUUUCAUUGCCUUUUGUUUCUCUUUCAUGGUCUUCUCUUCUUCUUUUUUCUUGCCAAUUUUUUUUUAAAAAAAAUAGUAAAAUUAUUUGAAAACCAUUCAAUUACUCCUUCAAUUUUAUAAUAUAAAUAAAAAUAUUUUUUAUGGUUAAAUAAUUACCUAAGAUAUUAAUAUUCAAAUUUAAAUACAAAUAUUAUUCGUAUUUGUAUCAUAGGAUUAAACCAUUUUUCAUCUUCCUAAUUCAUUACUUUUUAACUUCUACUUUUAGGAUCAAUUUAAACAUAAAAAUUAUUUAAUUUUUUAAAAUAAUCUAUUUUCAACUCAAUUUUCACUUUUAAUAAUGUAUUAAAGUACAUUCAAACAUGAACAUCAUUUUGAAUAUUUUUUACAAAAAAUCAUUUUGAAUAUAUAUAAAUUUAAUUAUAUUUGUACUUAGCGAUUCAAAUUUUCUGACAAAAAUAUUUCAGCAAUUUUUUUUUUUUGCCAAUUCCUAAUAUUGAGAGAUAUAAUUUUGAUAAAAUUUUUUUGCCAAUUCCUAAUAUUGAGAGAUAUAAUUUUGGUAAAAUUUCAAUUUAGAAGAAAAAAAAGAAAAAAAUGUUCGAAGUUGAAGAAGAAUGAUGUUCGAAUUUUUAUUUUUAUUUUGGGAUAUGAUGAGCUUAAAGAAUAGUGGAUCCCAUAAUUCACUUUAUUUAUAUUAUUUAGUAUAAUUUCAUUAGGUCAUGUCAAUUUUAAAUCAUAUUUUCUCUUUCUUCCUAAUGUUUGGAGAUUUUAAGUCAAAGAAUGGACUCACUAUAUCCAAGUGUGAAGGAAUUAGUGGAGCCUCACACAAUUUUUGUUUGUUGUGCCUCUACCAUACUAAAUUUUUUCCAAAUAUUGUGAAGGAAAAAAGAAGAAGUAAUCAUUUGCUUCUUUUGUGAUUGAGUGAAGGAAGAGAUAAAACCAUUUUUUUCUACUAAAAGAUACUUAUGAAAUUUUUUCCAUUUUUUGAAAUUCAAACUAUUAUAAAGUUUGAUUAAUAUUUUAAGAAAUAUAUUUUUAAUGGUAUUAAUAUGAUUAAAUGGAAAAAUAAGACUCAUAAAUAAAAUGAAUGAAUCACGACGAUGUUAGCAAUAUAUUUUCAUUAACUAUGAUUUAUUAGUUGUCAACAUCAAAGGGUACGUAAGCCUCAUGAAUCUUUAAGUUUUAAUAGUUUAUAAAUUAAUAUAAUAAAUAAAAGAUAACAAUGAUAAAAUUACAUAGAAAUAUCAAGAAAAUAAAUAAUAAGUAUGAUUGUACAUAGAAUGUUUCAUCUUGAAAUGUUUUCAAAAUCUACAAGAGACUCUUCAUCAAAUGCUAUUUGUAAGACAGUAGGCGUCGAGUGGUGGAUUCAAUCCCUUGGAGAGCUAUAUUCUUGCGCUGCGUAAUUUCACUCUGCAUUUCUCUAGCUGUCUCCAUUUGUGUACCAAGUACUUCUACCUUAGCUUGUGCAAUCCUAUGGGCUGUUUUGUAUUUUAUCUCAUCAUCUUUCAAGCAUUUCUCGUCUUGUUCAAUAUCAGCAACCUCUCGUUCCAAUCUACGAAUCAGUUCUCUUGCAUCUUCUAUUUGCUUCAUCAGAGGUUCCUUUUUCUCCUUAUCCAUUUUUUGAUUUACUUGAAUGUGUUCAAUCUCCUCUUCAAUAUCAUCUGCAAAAAUAACAAUGUCGAGAUAUUUUUUCUCCAAUUCUGAAACAGAUAACAUAUGUAGUUUUCUGUCAGCAGUGAGUAAAUCAUAUUUGUAAGCAAUCAAGUCCUUGACAUCUUUGUAGAAUGAACCAUAAUCAGCGCCAAACCAAUUCAUCGUGGUGAAAGCACGGUUGGCUAAAGUAACCAUGUCAUCCACGCUAGUAGUCGUCUCAGAAGUAAGAUGAGACACCAACAUAGACUUGACUUCAUCAGUGAUCACUUUCUUUGAUUUUUCAUGCAUUUGAGAAGAAUGUCCAUUUGCUUUAGUAUGUGUUUCUUUUGCUGUUUUCAGUCUUGAUAAAGGAGUUAACUUUAACUUUGUAUCUCUCUGUUCUUCCUCUUCAUCACAAGGAAUUAGCAUAGGCAUUUCACUGGUUGACCCCAAUGGUGGCACAGGAGGUGGGGGAACUAGCUCUGGAGCAUUUGUGCUUGUUGAAACUCGCGAAGGAGUAUCUUCAUUUGAUCCUAUUGGUGGCACAGGAAGUGAGGGAACUGCUGGAGAUUUUGUUGGCACUGUCACAUAAACAAUAUCAACUGUUUAGUUUAAGAUAUCAGAAGAAACAAUGAAAUAGACGUGUGAUCGAUCCUCCAGAAGUUAAUCAUGUCUUUGAGGAUCAACGCGCAACCUAAUGCAACCACUUAUUAGAAGGAAAACCUAUCAGCAAAAAAGCUUCAAUGUAGAAAUAUUUGCAUGAUGUUCCAACAAAAGAAACGAAUUCCAACAGAAGUCGUGAUUCAUUGUGUCAUUAUUUCAUUCUUGUUGUUAAGAAUACAACUAAAAAGUCGAAAUGACACAGAGAAACUCGGUUAAAAGUCUGAUACGGGUAAUUCAUAGUAUUAUGCAGGAAUACAAGCACACAAAAAUUUCAAUGUCCAUUCCAUUGACUUCAGCUCUGGCAGCCAAAAGAAAUGCCCGACUCCUUCUGCACCUUCAAUGAUUAAGCAGAACACACAACGCGAUAUGAAAACAGCACACAAACUUAAGACUGCUAUAAAUGAGAGAAGUUCAUCCUACCUUGUGUGCAAGCAAAGGAGAAGGUGCUAUGGACUGGAAGAACUUAUUAGCAAAUAUGAUGACAAAAAGAUCCUACUUUUCUCAGGAAAAGGAAGGUUCGAUUAUACAAAACUCCAACAUAGAACAUACUAGCAACCUACUACAUCCUGUCCUAACAAAUCCAAUCACUGAAAGCUCAACUCGAAACACUUUUGCUCAAUCAACUAAGCUACAAUCUUAUACUAGAAAGAAUAAAAGAAAAUAUUAGUUGAUGUGCUCACAAGCUGGCCCAAAAGCCACUAUUCAGAAGAGUAGCAAGGUGAAUCAAGAUUUGUCAAAAUUGUGACCACUUAGUAGUGGUAAUGUUUCGAGACGAUAAUUAGAGGAAACUACUAUAUUCAUGAUACACGAAAUAACAUUACUUUUCUCAUACACACAAAAAACAAAGACCAGAUGCCAACAGAGAGCCUUAUAAGAAACUGACGAGGUUUGUUUUUUUGAAUGCAGAAAUGCAUGAUAUUACUUUAGUAGAACCCCUAAUGCCAAGAAACUGCUAUAAUCUUGUAAAGAUUGCAUCUUUUUGAUGUUUCACUUGAGAAACAAGAAAAUGAAGGGCACCCCAGGUUUCCAAUUUGUGUUACACAACUAGCACAAAGUGAAAAAUACCAUUUUGAAAACACUGAAAAUCAUGCAUGUACAGGUUUUUCUUGUCUUUUUGUAAUGAAUGAUGAGUCAAAAACACACCUAACCCGGUUUUUUCGAGUUUCAUACUUAAACUAUUAAGUGUGCGAGUGAAACAUUUGGUGAUAGUUCACGCAGAUAACUCAUGAUAGUUUAGGUACGAAACUCGAAAAGUCGAGAUACAAGUGUAUCUUUGACCAUUAACUCUUUUUUAAUCAUGUUUGCUACAUUUCACAUUUCCUAAUAUAACAAUUUAUUAGAAGGAAAAACUUACCACAAAUCCUAGAAACUUUUUUGUACCUCCUUUUUUUCUUAUAGGGGAACCGACCUUGGAGUGUUGAAGAUGAGCUAGCUCCUUGUAAACUUGACCUUGUUGCCACCAUCUUUUCUUCCAAUGGAGUUUGAAUAUUUUUUCUUCAAGAAAUCAAAAACCAGAAAGUAGUACUAUAUUUGCUCUGAAAACUGAGCCAAAGCUGUAGGAAUUAGGAUGGGUGCUGGAAAAAGGGAUCCUUUUUGCCAAGGCAAGAUUUUACUCAGUUUUAUGAUGAUAAAAUUUUCAGCACACUUUAUGUGCCUUUUUGUACUAUUCCUUUUUUUUUUAAUUUCCCAUUCGGUGUCCAGAGCUCACAUUGGAGCCGUGACUAAAUCCGAAUCGCGCACGAGUGUACAAAGUUCACAUGGUGCACUGAAGGGCCAAUUCGGGGGUGGCACUCCCAACAAAAAAAAAUUCAUACCGAGUUCAAACCCGAUACCUCUGGUUAAGAAUGAAACAAGCUCGCAACUCCCCAACAACCCAUGUUGGUGCCUUUUUGUACUAUUCCAGUACAAAGCAGAAAGGAACAAUGGAAAAGAAAAGGAAAAUGACAGUUCGUACUAUUUCAACAAUAUUUGCAUGAACUGACCAAUUUAUUGUGAAAUUUCAAAGUUAGUAAAAUGCUCCUACUCUCCCAACCUGGGAACUAAGAAUACUCCUAUUAUUAAGUAUUAUUUCUAUUAAAACUUCAUUAGUUGACUUGCAAAUAUAUGUACAUGAACAAAAAAUUUAAGUAAGAAACUGUGAGAUGAUACUAUUGUGAUCAUCAUCAAAAGGGAAGUGAAAAGAAUGGCAAAAAAAAAAACUCAAAAAAAUGAGAAUCAAUUGAAUUAUAAAAAAAAUAAAGAGCAAAAAGUAUUUACAUAGAUCAACUAUUUUGCACAAAAAUAAAAGGAGACAAGCUCUCAAAAUGUGAUCGUUUACGAGCUACUCGUCUAUAAGGUUUCCUAUUUUUCCAGAACAACUGUUCAAUGUUGCUACUACUUCUUGGUAUAUCAGCAGCAACAUCCAUUCUCUCCCAUUUGGUUUUUCUUGAUUUCCUUCUUGAUUCUGUGUGUCGCGGAGAAGGCGUCUGAGGUACCUCGUGUUUGCCACCAACAACCCUGCAGUUCAAAUGAGCAGUCAGAGACUUAUAUCGCGAUAAAUCUUAGCAUUAGUGUGAGUUCGUUGACCAUAAAAGAACGGUUCAUCCAUUACUGGGGUGGACCUGGUUUCAAAGAAUUCAGAACCUUUAACCUAUCAAAAUUUAAAUUCUAGAUCCGCCUAUAGAAGCACACUUUUCUUUAGUUUUCGAAGAACAUCGGAUUUAUUUAUUCAAGCAAUUACUAGUUUUGGUAAAGGGAAAAGGAGAGGAUGCUCACUUUUCUUCGCCGCUUGUUGACAUUGAUGCAAAAUCCUCUCCUUCCAUGCAACAACAUGCAGGGCAGAUGUAGAUCUUUGGCAGUGAGGAUAACUUGAUGCAAUCAAAAUGAUACCAUUCAUCACAUUUAUCACAAGCAAUCAUCGGUCUUUGAUCAUAAGGUCUCCGACAAAUGCAAUAAAGCAUACUCCGAUCCCUUAGUAACUGCAUGUUCCAAAAAUAGUCUAAUUAAAUAUGAUACGCAUACACUUAACUUUCAUCUUAACAAGAGUAGCUCCUUCAACAUUUUACCUUAAGCUCCUUCUCACAUGACACAGGUAAAUUUUCACCCUCCGUGAUGAGCUCAAAAACCUUAUCCAAUCCAAGUGCGCCACCAUCUGUUGAAACCUGUUACAAGGAAGAUGGUUAAGGUUGAUGUCAUCUAUCAAGAACAUAACCACUGAGAUGCACUACAUGUACAGUUUUUACCUUCUUUGCAUUAUCAGCCCACUGCAACCCAAUGUUCUUCACUUCUAUCAGGCUUUGUCUAAAAUAAUCUUCUGAAGGAAUGCCGACAGCUAGUCCCUGAAGUAGUAUUGAACAAUCAACAUAUUAGGCUAUAAUAAGUUAGGUUGCAAGCGAUCUCCAAUCAAAUCUCGCACCAAUGAUAAGCCGAAAAAUAUCAAGAAAUGAUCUACUAAGGUCAUUAUGCUUUUAUCAUAGCUAAAAGGGCAACAAAUGUAUACUAUUAAAGUCAGCAUACUCAUGAACUACAUUCCUGAUUCACAAAAAACAUCAUAUGAGAGCAGGAGUUUCAGUAGUGGUGAACAAGCUGCCGAGAGUAGAGCCCACUUAUUUCGACAGUGAGCCUAAUGAGAAAACUCAAAACAGCCAAGACUUUUGAAGUGUCGUAAUAACUUUCUUAAGCUCAUUCAGAAAUCAGUUGACUGACUACUGAAACUUUAUCGGGACCAGUAGUGCCUCUGGAACUGAAUAUUGUAUUUACACCCACGUAACCCCUAUUAUAGUACAAUCUACCAACUACCAAAUCAUGCCCCUAUAUUAUCUUAUCAUUAAUACCCAAUGACCCCGAAAAAGGUAGAACAUAGAGGCACACAAGGCAAAAUAAUGUGGUGAACAAUAUAGCUCUUCAAGGAGAGAUGCACACGAAGGAGGGGUCAGAUUACUCAACCAGCAAUCAGAACUUCGAUGUGCAGCAAGCUAAAGCAGAUCACCGUAGAGGCAGAAGGCACCCAAGCAUGAUAGAACUGGAGUAAUAGGCAGAAUGCAACAGUUUUUGCUAUAAAGCAACUAUAUGGAUAUCAGAAGAAGAAUCUAGAUCGGCACUUCAAAAAGUCAAGAAGCCAACUGCAAGGAAUUGAAUUAGCAGAUUAAAAUUGAAGAGGUCAGGAAUUAGGUGAUGUGGCUUAAGGAGAUCAUAAGGAACUUUGAAUUUACACAUUAGAAAUUGACUGCUACUUCCUCAGAGAAAAAGGUUUUAGGGUAGUCUGUGAUGCUUGAGUGUGGGGCUUGCUCUAAUAAUUUAAUCUAUAUAGGUGUAAUCACUUGAGGCCUCCUCCAGUAAACUAUUUAUUGAACAGAAAAGAAUGACAAUAGGACUUUCAACAAAGUGAUAGAGGAAGUCGGGAGUUAUACAAGAUAGCUGGAGUGACACAAGAAUCUAAUGGGAAUCCUAAAACUUCACAAUUCGACUAAGAGUAUAGGAAAAUUGCCCAUGAUCUAAAGAAAAUUGGCACCUUUAAUAUAUUUUAUUCCCAUUUCCUGAUAUUCCACAACUAUGUUACAAAGAUUUGGGAAUGAGUAUGCGAUGUGGAUGUGGAUCCACAUCUGGUACAAUCAAAUAAUUUGCAGGUUUUUAGUUUACUUUGAAGGAUUUAUUGCAGCACACUCAAAAAUUAUAUUCCUGUAUGACAAGGCCAAUGUAAGGUUCAUGUCAGUAGACCCUAGUUCUCCAUUUUUGCUUAGAAAAGACAAACAAGAACUGAAUAUUAUUGUACGAGCUAUAACCUAUAUGGAAAGUGCGCUGGAGCAGGAGUACCCCAAGAAAAAUAUAUAGAACAAAGUGCAAGGCAAAGUGCAGCAGACCUCUUUCAAAUGCCGUUGAAGCACUUGAAUUGAGGGUUUCUGUGAACCAUCUAACAAUCUCUGAGCUCUGAUUUUCCAAGAAGUUCUUGCUAACGCCAACUCGAGUUUGCUGUUUGCCUCAGAAUCAUAUGCACCAACAAUAUGUACAGCCUAUGCAGUCAACAGAAAGUGAAAAUAAGUUCCAAGUGUCGAGUUUACAGUUAAUACUCUGGCAUGCUCAUAGAAAAAAGUCAUACUAAAUUGAUUCAAAACAAUGAAGAUAGAAAACCAUAUGCUCACAACAAUGAAGACACCAUCAAAGAAAUACAUCAGCAGGAGAAAGCAUUAUCAUAUCGGUGGACUCAAAACAGGUCACACUAAUAUUGUCAUUGAAACUGAAUGCUGAACAGCCAUUUGGUACCUUCAAAGCAACACAGAAUUUUUUUGCAAUAAUGCUAAGGUCUUCAUCUGGAUAAGCUAAAACAAACUUGACAAUCUCUUCUAUGCGAGCUUUGAAAUCGAGAGCUUUUUGACCAAUUUGAUGAAGUACAGCUCUUUCCUGAAUCCUGCCAGGAGAAUGUCAAUGAUUAAGUAAAACACUUUAGAGAAAGUGAGGCGUCGGUUUGGACACAUAUAAUUUGUGAGAGCAAGGUUACACACAAUAGAAGCACAAUAAAGUUGAAAGAAGCAAAAAAGAAACCCCACCCCGCCACAACAGAACAAAAAGAUGGAAGGUGGUUCAUUUUUUUGGGAGGGGAGUGGACAGAUAAGGAAGCUAACAUAAGCCAUCUAUUGUCAAUAAGCUUUGCUAAUGAUCUGGAUAUAUGCAAUGUCUCCACUGCAGAAAUUCCAUUAAUCCAUUCAGAUUUAAUUGGAUAUUCUGUUAGACACUUGAAAACAUCAGGAAAAUACUCGGUAUUCCUUUCACCUACCUUAUACCUUAGUCGAAAUAGUACAGGAGGAAACAAAUUGAAAAUCCAUACACAAAUUCCUAGAGUCGUUUGUUUAGUCUCAAAUGGUAAUUAUUCUCGUUUCCGGAAUUUCUAUCAUACAACUCUAAAAUCAGAGUUGCAAACUACUAAUAGUCUAAUACAAGGAGGGAUACCAAAUGCUGCCGAACACAACAUCCACUCACUGCCAGAACUCCACAUUGUCCCAACCAAAAUGAGAAGUCAAAGAAACAAGAGAAAAAGACAAUUGGUAUCCUAGCAUCCUAAAAGCAGUCUAGAGUCUUCUAAGCACAAAUUUCAAUUGAAACAGGCUAUAGUCAUUACCAUAAACAUAGAUCUUCAGCAUCUGAUAAGAGCUCAACGAGCUUGUGCAACUUGAGACUCUUCCUUCCAAUAUUCUGCAAUAAGUAAAACAAGAAAUCACGCAUUACUACAAACUGUAAGUGCUGGCUCAUUCACAGAGCUACUGGGUCAAGCAUACCAGAGGAUCACUUCCAUUUCUUGAUAUUUUUCCACUGUUCAUAAAGUGACAAUAAGGACAAAUGAAAACUUUCAAAUCAUUGGCAUCUCCUGGUGACCAUCCUAUGCACUUCAAGUGGAAGCUGUAUGAAAGCAUAACAUCUUUUAUAAGUGAUAACGAAAGCAUCUUCAGAUGAAAAAUAAUGAAUAAAUAGUUGUUCAACGACAAAAUAGUCCCUUGGUUAAAGGAAAUUAAUAACCCAUUUGGCCAAGUUUCUCGGAAUCUAAAAGCACUUUUUUAAGAUUUAAGGUCCAAGUCCAAGAAGGAAAAGUGAUUUUGAGAAGUUGUAGAAGCAGAUUCUCUGUUGUAGAGAAAAAAGCUACAAAUUUGUGCUUCUUCCAAAAAUAAAAGCAGCAGCAACAACAUAACCAGCAUAAUCCCGCAAAUGGGGUCUAGGGAGGUUGGGUGUACAUAGAACUUACCCUUACUUUUGUGGGUAGAGAGGUUGUUUCAAAUAAACCCUCGGCUCAAAAGAAAAAAAUUCAAAAGAGGUUGAAGAAAAAUAUGACAGCAAAAUAGUAAAAUACAAAGCAAAAGGAGCAACGGAUAGUAGUACACAUGAAAGAAUAAGGAACUACAUGAUUACUAUGGAGAGGAGGCUAUCUCUCUGCCUCUUCCACAUAAAGUGCGACAAUACUCAACUACCUACUAAUCAUCUACCCACUAAUCAUCUACCCUAAUUCUUGACCUCCAUAUCUUCCUAUCUAGGGUCAUUUCCUCAAAAGUUGGAGUUGAAUCAUAUUUUAUCUUAUCAUCUUCCUCCAAUUUUUCUACAGCCUACCUCUACCUCUUCUAACUCCUGCAACAACCAACCUCUCACACCUCCGUACUAGCGCAUCCAUCACCUUCUCUUCAUAUGCCCGAACCAUCUCAGUGACUCAGUUUCGCUUCCCUCAUCUUGUCUGCCACUGAGUCACUCCCACCUUGUCAUGUAUAACUUCGUUCCUAAUCAUAUCUCCCCUAGUAUUCCCACACAUCCAUAUGAGUCCCCUAGUAUUCCCACACACCCAUAUGAGUAUUUCCAUCUUCGCUACAUUCAUCUUUUGAAUGUGGGCGUUCUCAACAAACAUAUCCAUGCCAAAAGAUUACAUUACCAAACUAUUUGAUAUCAACUCAACCCAUCUGUUUCUCAAAUAUGAGUACAACCCUCUUCCCCUUUUCAUUUCUUUUUCUACCGGUUCUUCUCCUUCUAGAGUGAAAUUUUAAUUUAUAUUUAAUGAUGUAUUUUGAUUUAUUCAAAUCAUGUAAAAAAAAAUUAUACAAGAUAUUCAAUAUUAUUGCUUUCCUUUAUCUAUGUUUAUAUUGAUUAAAAUUUUAAGUAUAUAGUUUUUAUUUAUGUUUUCUACUUUAAUUUAAUAAACAUAAAAAGCAUAGACAAAAUUUUUGCAUGAUAAAUAUUUAAAAUCAUUUCUCCAUUUUAAUAGUACUAAUUAAAAAAUGACCCUUGAUACCGUCUUUUUUUGGUAAUUUGACACUCAAAACACUUUUUGGAGAGAUUGACCGACCAAAAUACAUUUAUCAAGUAUUGGAAAAAAACACUUUUCAAAUGAAUUGAUCAUACACAAACUACUAGUACUUUCCAAAAGUACUUCUGAAGAUAAGAUGUUUUUGGAAGUUUGACCAUAUAGGCUCUAAGUAUUAUUUACCCUCUGGAUAACUGGUAAUAACAAACAAUCAUUCAAAAUCCCCUCUCCCAAACAUCUAGAUCAAACCUUUUUAAGAAACACAAAAGUAGUAAGUUAAUUAGCCAGAUACAGUACCAGUCAUUGCAAGUAGAACAUGUCAAAAGCUUCUGGUUCACACCAUCAUGUGAGCAGAAUAUACAUAACGCGCUUGCAUUGGUCUGGUUAGAUUUCUCACAAAUGUUGAUUGAUCUCUCAAGUGCGUUUUUAGUCUGCAGAAUUCCAUUAGAUUGCAUCACACAUCUACCCCAUAAUAGCUAUAUAACCAGGUCAACAAAGCUCCAUGGGAACAAAAUAAAAAGAGAAAACAUCUUUAAACCUGUAAAAGAGCAGUAAGCAGGUGAGCAUCUCUAACUGAAGGGUGUAAGACCUCCUCACACCGGCGCUUCCACUCCUCUGUCUUAUGAACCUCAGAGAAAACCAUGUCCAAUUCGGAGCAACUGAAAGCAUCAUUAUUCCCUUUUUCCUGAACGUGUUCGAAUCACCAGACACCAUGAAAUUAAUGAAUAUCACAUGAUACCAAUAAAUGGUACGACAAAAUGUGUUUGAAGCUUCAAAGUAUCAGAACGUGAACUCGAUAUUAAUUACUUGGGGAGGUUGAGAGUAUUUUUUGGGUCAGUUCAAUGGAUAAAAGUUUACAAUUGUGGACAACAAGUCAAUUGAUAAAUCAAUGAGUCAAAUCCACGGGAAUUUUCUCAUCAUCAGUUCUCAAUAAGUUUCUCCACUAGUGUGUUUCUACACUUCCAUUCGCUUCCUCAAUUUCUACACAUAGUAGUAGGAUGAAAAUUUCCAGACAAGCUGUCGAAUCAAUCUCCAUAAGUGUAACUGAAAGCAGGAAUCUGAAUCAGAAGUGAGAAAACAAUACCUCCAGUUCAAAUGGGUUGCGAGAUAGCGGGGGAUAAUUUAGAAUGCUGUUAUUUUAUGAGGGUGUGAGAAAGGAUUUAGAGAAAGGAAAAAUAUAAUGAAGACGAAUCUUAUUGGUUAUCCCCUCUCUCAUUUAGUGGAAAAAUUCAAAUACCAAAUUUAACAAUCUAUAGAAAAGUUACUGAGAACAGAGACGAAAGAUGAGAUAUUCAAACUACUUUUCCAACUUCCAACAUAAUAAAAACUCAUAAAUUAGAAAUUCCAAGCAACAAAAAUACCCCAAUAACAAAAUUUCCAGAAAAAUAAAAGCCAUGACUUGUAGGAGGGAAAAGGAACCUAGUCUAAUACAAACAAAAAAAGAUAUGUUGACCUUGAGAAGAAGAAAGAAAAUACAGCACACAAAGAUAUGUUACCUUAAGCUGCAGCAACAGAUCCCAUGAUCGAUCCCUAAAGUUAAGGACAAAAAAUGAAUGCACCUGAUCCAUCCAUGAGCUGCAAAAAUUAAAAUUGUAAGUGAUAAAAUCAUAAAACUAACAACAACAUACCCUGUAAUCCCAAAGGUGGGGUCUGGGGAGGGUAGAGUGUACGCAUCCGUCCCCCUAACUCAUGGAGGUAGAGAGGCUUUCAUCGAAAACCCACGGCUCAAAUAACGCAUAUCAAAGCAGUAUGAAAAGGAAUAUACUGAAGUAAAAAAGACAGCAAACAAUAGAGAAAACAUUAUAUAGACUUUAUUUUUUCUUAUGGCCAUGGUGUCCAGGCCAGCUGAAAACAUUUAUAUGGAUUUCAGGAUAAAAAGAAGGCAACAACAGCAAAUAAUGUGGUAAAUAAAGCUAAAAUCAUAAAACUAAUUAAGGAACGCGUAAAGCAAACAAGAUGAAAAACAUAGAUGUGGCAGUGUGUCUGCCAGGGGUUUCUGAUGUCAAUAUGCCAAAUGAUUCCCCACCUAGACAUAGUUUCAUCUGCAAUAGCCAUUCAACUUAUUACUUUGGAACUCUGUACACAACCAUCUUCUCAGUAAUCCUUUCAUUCACUUGUCAUUGCUUUCUGAUACUUGACUUUUUCCUAUAGUUUCUUUUACCAGGCAGGGUAGAAAGGGUAUGUACAGGGAUGGUGGUGCAGUAGGUUUAUGCCACAUUCUACCAACAGAACGGACCUAACUUUUCAUAAAUGCCAAAUGGAAUCCUAACGACCUAACCCAACCUUUCAGUAGAAGCAAGAGACUAAAUAAGAUAAUAGUUUAAUUAUUAUUAUAAUUAUAAUUCUUAAAUAAAAGAAACAAAUAUUACUACAGAAAGUGUGAAAAUUGUGGGAAGAAUGUAGAAAAUAGCAUGGAACUAAACAGCCUCUCAGAUACUGAUAGUUUCUCAAAAGAGCUAACUUGAUACUUACAUGCGCAUUCACCAGAGGAAUCCAAGAAAAGAAAACUAAAGAAGCAUAAGAUAUUUUACCUAUAAUAUGAGAUAUCAGACCUUGGUAUGAGAUAUUAUUUCUAAAUAAUAUGUAGAAAAUUUCCAAUUCCACACUUGAUAGUAGCCGAAGAAGCUAUUUUUGGACAUCAUGAAAAUGUGAUGACAAACAGAUACACACCCCAUGGGCCCACACACAUGAAAUCUGUAUCAGUGGGGAACUUACUUGUGUUUCUCAAUGGCCUUCUGAAGCUGACUAAUCAUUGCAGGAGAUGAGACACAAAUGUUCUGCAGCACGAAGGCACCAAAUAUAGAAUAUAAAAUUUCACACGUAAGUAGAAUAUACCAAAAUAGCUAACACAUACAAGGAGGUAACAAUUCCUCAUAAGGGCUAUAGAAAAUGGAUAAAAAAAAAAAACACCUGAUACUGUCUGAGAACUUCUUCAGCAUCACUUAAGUUGGAUCUUCCAGCAGUAGAUUGAAUAGAGACUUCCAAAGCUCUAUUAAGCCAAUUCACCCAAUCAAUUAAGGAGAUACACAAACUGCAAGUUGUAUACAUGAUAGGAAGGUGGGUCGUAAUCUCCAAAUUCGUCUUGACUUCCUACAGCAAUGUCAACAAAUAAAAUUAAGCAUGUAUAGUGCACCAUAUUUUAAUAGGGACAGAUGAACAGUAAGAAAACAUCUUAACCAGGGCACCAUAAAAGUAACAACUCCAUUACAAAGAAGUAGGACAAACUAUGGAAUUAAAAGGCUUACAUGUGGAGAGACAGAACCAAGAGUUCUUUUUAAUCAUAAAGACAAAAAGUCUGAUGUGCCAAAUUAGGGGCUAAAGAAGAAAAACCAACUGAUAACACACAAAAGAUAAAAAGAAAAGGUCCUCAGCUCCUAACAACAUGGUAGUUGGCAAAAAUUUGAAGGAAGGAGAAAUGGGAGAAGGGUUUUGGGUGUCAUAUGCAGUCACACUAGCGAUACUCUCGAAUGAGGUGUUGCUUACUUGCUUCACUAAGUGACCUACCAUCUUUAGGUCAGCAACAUAGCUUACUGUUUACAACUUAGAGGUUUGCCAACAUGGAAAAGGAUAAGGGAUGAACAAGGAGUGGUGCUCCAACUAUACCACCGCCAGUAGUUUCCAAACUUAGGUAGAUUUACAUGAACCAAAGAGAGAUAGCAUUUAACUUUGCAAAGUGGCUAAAAGAGAAUUGUGCUCCAAAUAACUAACCAUCAAUAACCAAAUUCAAACUGUAAAUUUUUUAAUUCCACGGUGAUGACAGGCUAAAAGGUAUUAGAGCUGUUGAUCCUCGAAUACAGGCAAUACCAGAGGCAGAAUAUGGGACCAGGAACAAAAAUCUAGGCACUGGAUACCAAAAGAAGACAAAGAAAACUAGUAAAAUCACAUCUAUUUACCCCAAUAGUAAGGAGUGCAUGCACAGCCAAAACCUCAAUUCAUUGUCCAGAUCUAUCUGUUUUUAUGUUGAACAGAAAUCUUAUGAGACAAAUAAUUACCUCAAGUGUUGGAAUUGCAGUAGCAAAAGAUAGAGCCCUAAAGCACCAAUGAAGAGUAGAACAAGCGUCUUGAAGUUUUGGAACCAUAUCAAACUUGAAACCAAGACCUUGACCUGCUACUACAACUGAUUCUAUGGCUUGAAUUUGCUUUUCAAUUUUACCAAGUCUGCUCAAUAUUUCAUCAUCUGUAUUUUCGUCAUUCAACAGACACUCUGUAUCAUGCAACACAGAGCAGGCAUCCUGCUCCCACCUGGUGCAAGUAUCAAGCAAUGUCUGAAUCAUCAGUAGUUCUCUCAGAGAUAGCUUCAGAAGCUUAGAUUCUGAUACCAAUAUCUGCAGAAAUUACAACAAAGGAUGUAAGAGCUUGGCUAUAUUUCACAAAGGCAGAGUUUGCAAGUGAUUAACCUUCAAAGUUUCAAUUUCAAGAGAAGGACUUGAGCCAAGAGCCUUAGAAUCACGUGAUAGGAAGGGCUGUGACCUAGAUAGCCAAGACUUGGCCAUUGAUACCGCAUCCUUCACUUCAUCAAGAGAAGGAAGUAUCACAAAUAUCUCCUCUGAAGCCCUAAUUGUUUUGCAAAAUAUAAAUAUUAGACAGGAAGUAGAAUGAAUACACAAACAAACACAAGAAAUAAGAAGCAAUAACUAAAUCAGGGAAGGAGGCAACACCUUAUAACAUCCUCAAAUUCAGAUAUUUCUUCCUUAUUUUCAAGGACAUAUUUGGCUCUUUCCUCUAAAGAUACAGCAAUUGCUUUUACCUCGUAAACAUCAGUAAACAACUUCUCUUUCUCAAUCUGCAAUCUGGUGAUAUAAUCACAUAUCAAAUGGGAUGAACAAUAGUUUUUUUUCAAGAAAAUCAUAUUAGUAAAGCGAAAAUUGUAGUACUACAUGCUAGCCUCCAUCAACAGCCUCUCAAUAUAAUCCAUGGACAUUCUGCAACGAAGUGCCUGUACGAAAGAAGAAUUUCAGAAAAUUCAGAUAGAGGAAGGAAUUAGAGAUUUAUGAGACCAAAAAAUCGCAAUGAAAUAUGAAUCAAACAGCCAAGAAAGGAAAAGGGAAAGGUAAUAGGCCAUGAAAGAACACGGAAAAUGUAACUCAACAAUCCACAGAAAGUGAUAGGAGAAGAAAGACCACUCUAGUUACCUUCAGAGCUUUUACCCUACAACGAGCCUUCUUUAGCUCAAUAUCCACACAAGGCAGCUCCUCAACUAUGUCAGAAGCGUGAGAAAUAUUAGAUGUUUGCAUUAGAUCACAACUAUUAAACAAAAGAUAGACUGAGAUUUCCAAACCUUUAACCCUAAGCAAUGAUGCAUCCUUUUGAAUGCAAGUUAAUUCAUGAGCUACAGUUUCUUGAUCCUCCCUUUCGCUGAUGCCCAAUAGAAUAUUGUUAGCACGCGCUAUCCAAGACACAGCAUCUUUAUGAUAUCGUCUCAGAAGUUCAAGCUCUGGAAUGUUAACCGCAAAACCAUCCCAUUUGUUGAGAAGCGAUUCAAGUUCCUGUACAACAUAAAAUGUGGCAGUUAUGCAAUGUUCUACUUCCAUCAACACUAUUCAAACUUUGACAAGGUAGGAACAACCUUGACACUGAGAGAACCUUUCAACAUCCCACAGCAUUGAGAUUGACAACAUUCAACUUGUCUAAUUAAGUCUAGGAGCAUUUCACCUUCAGGAAGUUGCACUUGAAGGCUUAAAUUCUGGAAACAAAAAAUGUAAUAGAAUAAUCAUAAAACAAAUAAUCCCAAAAAGAAAGCAUCACAGAAAGCAAAGAUAAACAGAUCACCUCCUUCUCUAGCUUGUAGAGAAUAUCUGCCUCAACUCUAGCAGAAGUCUCAGACACACAUUUCCUUACUCUUUCAGCCCAAGCCUGGAAAAGCUCAAUAUGUGAGAUUAUAAAGCAGAACCCAUUCUAUUUCUGAAGAUUGAGGCAGCAAAUGACAAUUCACCACAAGCACAUAGUCACAUCAUACAGAGCUACCCUUCAAAUUAAUAUACAAUCCUACCAGCAAGAAGACACAAAGUUGAUAGACAUUUUAAAAGGUGAUUCAGAUAGCAGUUACCAUACAUCCAAAGCAUCACCAGUGAUUGUGUGUCACUUCCAGUUGCAUAUGUAAAUUCAGCGCAUUUCAUGGGUUGCAGAGGUAACUAUAAAUUGAAUUUAAAUUUUGUCCUUGAAUACAAUUCAAUUGUGCUACAGUGAAUCAAUUCUGAAACUAUGCCAAAAGGGUACUUCACUUUUAUUUUCUUUUGACAGGGGAAAAGAAUUCCUUUUUCUUUUAUAGACAUUUUUGAGAAAAAAAAAUUGAAGAUCUAACUAUCUGUGUUCUAACAUGGACUAUUGGAAAAUGGAGACCAUCUCCAAAGCUAAUUGCCUCCUAUGUCAGGCUAUGUGGAUUAUCCACUGAAUCAUCACUCAUCAGUUUUUUACAAGGCUGAAUCAAGUCAUCAAAUAUUCUUACAUUGUCCAGUAAGUCUUUACAGGAGUCUAUUCUUAGGAAGAAAAAAAACUAGAGUCUCGUAACAGCCACCAAUGGAAAGAAUGUGUUGGUCUGGUUUGCAAAGAUGAAGUGGAAACAUUUUGAUAUUGAAUGCUCGGACUAGCUGUGAAUUGAUAGCUUAUUGUUUGUAAACGGAGAAGACUUGCAUGAUCUCUCUAUAACAGGUCAAUCCUGGUCAUUCAAACUAAAUGGCUAGAUCAAAUGCAUCAUCUUUUCCUAAUAUCAUCCUUGAAGAAGGCGAAUAAAAAAAGAAAAAAGAGAACCCUAAAAGCUGCACUGACCGACCUCAUGUGGGUUUUCUUCUCAUUGCUUUUAAAAUUUGGAAAAGCAAACGAGUCUUCGCGAAAAUGUAAGUAUUUGCUGAUUCUUUUUUUGAGAUAAAGGUAAACAAUUGAAUUAAAUCAUAACUUAGCACCUAAAACAAUGCUAAGUUAAGAACUUUACAAACCAUACUUACAGCAGAAGACAAAAAACUGAGAACUUAUAUAUUGCCAAUUAAAUCUUUUAAGUCUCCUAUAUUGCUCCAUAUAUUCUGUUUACACCAAAAAAAGAACAAACUGAGACAAUUCAACCUAAUUUUCUGGAUAGAACUGCUAGUAUCUUCAAACUUCAAGUAUUCACUGGUUCUUAUGUCAACAUAAAAAAUAUUCUCAAACUUUACCUUUUGUUUUUGUUUUUGUUUUUAAAAUUUACCCAUAUCAUUAAAGCUCAUCUUUCUAAUUGGGGCUUAAGUUAACUUCUAUUAUCUCAUUCACAGUAAAAGCCAGCAUGACCUAUGAGAAAACCUUUAACAAGCUUGUACAUGCACUGAAGCGCUAUAACUCCCAGUUCCUUCACUGACAAGCAUUAACAUCUUUUUCACCUCAUAAGAUCUUAUAACUUCAGCGGUAACUUCCAAUUUUUGCACAAAGAACAACAAAGACCCGAAAUCAAAGUAAAAGCGGCAACUGAAAGUGCCGGCAGGAAUCUGAGGAGAAGUAACAAUUGACCAGUUGGAACACAAAGGACGAUCAUAAAUAUGCUGAUCCUCUUUUCAGUAUUCAAUUGCAUUUACAGAGAGACCAAAGACUACUUCAUGAUAUUUGAACAUACCACAACAAAAACAACCAGAAUCUUUUCUUUUGACAAAAGAAACAAACUGAAGGGGUUUUGUCUUCUAUUUUAUGUAUCAUUAUUUCUCUAAGCAAAAGAUUUUGUUCACAAAAAAAGGGUUGUCUUCCUUUUUCCUCUCUUCUCCCAAUUUUCUAUAAUUUGAUUCAAAUGUUUUUCUUCUCUGGGAGAAAAUAAGGAGGCGUCACAUGGGCCAAUGUUACUAAAACAUAAAAAUUUGGCAACAUCAACCUGGUAACCUUAUCAACAAUAUAUAAGACGUAAAACUUGCAAAAUAAGAAGGUAUACCUUAGCUGAAGACAGUUUGCACAACAAUUCCUCACUUCCUUUGAUGUAGAUGGGGCAAUCCACAGUCUUGGAGUACAAGGUUUCCAAAUCGGAUAACUGUAAAGGAAAUGAAGCAACAAUUAACAAACAUAAGAGAACAGAAUGAGCACCACUUCCAAACCUCAAAUCGGCAACGAUUAUGUACUUUGCUAGAAACCUCAAAGGAAAGAAGAAACAUUUCCAAACAAUCCAAAAAUGUAAAAAGUACGAAAUGACCAGAUGCCAAAUGCAGAUCAAAGGUUCAGAAAGAAGGAACCUUGUUUUUUCCUUCUUUUAUUUUGGGCGUGAAAGGGGAGAAUAAAACUAUAUUAGCCACUAAUGUCAUAACAAAAGCCUGAAAUUAUACCCUAAACUGAACUACAAUUCUCAAAGAGCAGCAUUAGCUCCUAUCAUAUUCUGUUUGAUAAUGCAACACAGCAUUUAUAGAAUAUCAAACCACACUAUACCUAGAAAACUAUCAACAAAGUGAAUGUACAGGCUUACAAGAAUAUUUGAGCAUGAUGAAAGAACAGAAUCGAUCUCCAGAGUCAGCUCGCUUGCCUCUUUCUGGAAAUCCUGUACACAGAGCAUACUUGGAUUAUCAGACCCAGUGCAAAAUUGAAUUGCAUAUAAAGGGAGGGAAAAUAGAAACAAAAUGCAUUUCACCUUCAAUCUGACAUGCGCAGGUUCAUUACAGGGUACGGGGUUUAAACUGAGCAAAUUGUCAACAACUUCCAUCUGCACCUUCACUACACUAUUGUUAUCAGACAUCCAAGAUUUUACUUUCGAGAGAGAGUCCCUGACAUUUUGAGCCCAACUCUGAGCAUCAAUUAACCUCUUCACCAAAUCUCUCACCUAAACCCCAUUUGCAUAUAGAUAUUUAGUUAAAGACAGUUAUAAAAUCUAAGGACUAUUAAGUUAUAGAAAAUGAAAUGGCCGAAAUCUCACUGGAUCCAUUUCAUGACCAGCCCACACAAACUGUUCAGCUUCCUUUAUUGCACGACGAUAAGCAUCUGAAGAAUAAGGAUUCUGGAAAAGCUUGCUGGACUUUAUUAGCCAUUCUUCAGCAAGUUGCAUGUGAGUGAUACAGCCACCCUUAAUCUAGAGUUGGCCAUUGAUUGGAGUCAAUAGAAGUUAGAAGCUAUCCAUUUAUACGUUUACACAAGCCACAUAUUAACAAGAACUAUUUCUUAUCUUAAGACAAUAUACCACACUGUAUCACGAAUAUGCAAGAAACAAACUGCAGAUGUCACAUCUCAAAGUAUCAAGUGACUCAUAAGAUGUAAACAGCUUACUGAGGUAUCAGCCUAUCAAAGUCUAGAAACUUCCCAAACAGAGAAGAAAAGGUUCAAGAAGGAUAUGUCCCAAGACCAUUAGUAUCAUUCGAUCCCAGAUCAUUAAGCUUCUUGACCACUAGAAUCAUUAAGAUAGUUAAGCUUCUUGAUUGACAACUCAGAAGAUAGGGUGUGCGAUAGCGAGAAAAUUAGAAGUGAGAAAGAAAUUUCAGAAAAUUCUAACGUCUUUGACACAAAGUUGUAAACUCUCCAAGGAUAUUGUAUUAGAUGAACAGAUGAUGAAGGAAAAUUGGUAGUAUUAACAUUUCAGAUAUAUAAGAACAGCGCACAAUUGAUUAAACACUGGUAUAGAAUCAUUGAGCAUGUUCUUCCAUCCUAGUAAAUAUUGAUACCAAGAAAUAUAUGUGUUCUACUUCCUAUUAAUAAUGCCAAGCAAGAACCUUCAUUCCCCCACCACACCUCUUUUGACUAAAAACUGAUUACUACAGAUGUGCUAAAAACUUAGGUAUAGAAAUAUCUGCAGCUUGAGUGGUUAGAUGGGAAUAAACAGGUAAUUAGAAAAGCGAGCAAAGAAAUGCAGAACACUGCAUGGAGCCAAAGAGAGGGUCCAAAAAGCAAGUUUUGAUAUUCACUAGGCCAGAAAACAAGGGUAUCAAAUGGAAUAACAAAAACAAGAAAAUUGACCAAAACAAGGUUCUAUAUAAUGAUCAGAACCUUUUUUGACAAAGAAGAUGGAUCAUUGGAUGACAGAAGUUGCCCUCUGAUAUUUUUUGCAGCCUCUUCAUGAUUACUCUUAUCCGUAAUAAGCACCAUAUCAUUCAAUUCAGCGACGGUAUGACGAAAAAGGAGUUGACGUUUUUGUGGCUUACAUUCGCACAGAUGUUCCCAGUGCUGCAAGGAAACCUCAUAUUAAGUCAAGAAAGCAUAAUCAAGCACCAAAACUAUUGACAAAGAACAUAACAGCCCACGACUAAAUAUGGUAGAAGUGCUUAACGAUUACACUCAAUACUGAUUGCAGUAUAGCAGUGCAUUCAGCAGUGAAAUCGCUAAAUACGCCUCAACCCCCCAACAACAACCCACCCCAAAAUCAAAAAGAACUACAUCAUUCAUUUUAGGCUCUGAAAUUGAUAAAUUAAAGCUGCAUAAUGAUGUAAAAAUUGUUAUAUAUUAUAGCACAAUGCUGAGAAUGUCCUCCCUCCUAGAUGCUAAAAUAUGCAACCUACAAGGAAAGAUGAUUUUAUGCAUCUAUGAUCAGCUAAGUUUAGCUUGAAUUUGACCAGAGUACAUUCUAUAGACAGAACUCACAAAAGCAUAAGACAUACAGCCACAGGAAGUGGAGAGAUAAGGAAAACAAUGUAUUUUUCGCACAUAUAAACAAUGCUUACCUCAAGACAAACAAAAGAUGAUGGUGCACAACUGCACGCUACAGCAGAAAGAUACAAAUAUUGCCGGCAUAUGAUGCACGUAGGAUCCUUCAACAAGAUCAGGUAAAAUAUGUGAAAAAACACUUCAGAACACAUUCAUAGUCAAAAAAAUCAAGAAGCAACAUCAAAGUUAAAGUACCUCUUCAGUGCCCACGUAUUCAGGUUUCAUACGAGGCGGCAUGGGAGAAGAAUUGACAAUACCAUUUUUCCAAAGCCGCUCUCUCCAAGACUUUUCUUUAGAAUAGACCCUGACCAAUUCUGUUUUUAAGUAAGGUGCUGCAUUGCUAUCAAAUUCACUCUGCAAGGUGAUGAAAAUUGUUAAAUUGGCAUGAUUAGAAUUUAAAGAUACAUAGAAGCAUGGAAAAGUUAUCUACGAAUACAAAGCAAUGAAAAUAUGAAAACAAAAGUUCAUCAGAAAAAGCACCAUAGCAUAAGUGUCAGUAGAAAACUAAAAAAAUAUAUAAUAAGCAAUGGAAGCGCCAUCUAGCAGCUACGUCACAAAAUUUAGUGCACCAUCCAUUGGUGAUGUGGAAUUAAAGUACUCAAGGGUAAUCCCACCCACUUGGAAAUGAAUCAACAAAUCACAUUUUUUUAAUAACAGCAUCUGGGUACUUGCACCUCGACUAUUCAACAGGGUACCAACUACCUCCCACCAGCACAUGUACUAGUUAACAAGGCUUAGGCGAAUUGGAAGAAAUCACAAUAGCACAAAGAAAGAAUGUGAAAACAUGAGUAACUAGAUAAAUAUCCACCAUAUGAAGCAUGCAAAAGAACAGUCUUCUACAUCUGUGAGCAAAAGACGAAUGAGUAUAACAUUGUCCAUAGCAUACCAUGAAUUUGAGUGGUGGGGUUCCUAAGUAAGGGGUCCCCCCUAUUAUAUUUCUCCUAAUUGGAACCUCCAACAUUUAAAUGGCAAAGGGAACAAAGAGACAAACCCGGGCAACUGCACAGAGAAGCUCUUCAUGAGACAAAACAGCAGCUUUGCGGUAAAGUUGGUAAAGCUCUGCUCCAAAACCACCAUGAGGUAACCAGUCGGCAGGGGCAAAAUUAACAGCCUCGGCACAAUUUAAGCCUGCAAUUUUAAGAUGCAGGUAAGACUACAGGAGGGAGCUGCAUCAUGCAUGACUAAGCAUUUGAAGACGAAAGAACCAUUUGAAGAAGAAAGAUCCAUUCAAAACUUUUUCCAAAUCAGAGAUAAACUAGCAAAAAAUAUGGGCUCACCGCAGUUAAAGCCUCCAUGAUAUGAUCUGGGAAAGGUAAUAAUAAAGUCCCCAGGCUCCUGCAACAAGUACACAAGCAAAUAAAAGCCACAUAAAUGGAAAAUGCAAAACGGGAAAAGCUUAAAAUUCAGUAACUCCUGGAAUGGCAGUCAUGAAGGGGAUCGCAAGUACUGUUUAGGGAAUUGCUCAUCGAGUUCCUGCUUGCUAUUAAAGCCUAAUCAUAAUAUAUUUUUAUAAUUUGUUGAAGAUCUUUGAUCAUUUGAUUGUGAGAUUCAUCAGAAGUUCUUUUCUUUUUCUUUAUUGACAAAAAUAAAAAAUCCUAUUUUGCUUAGUAUCAAGACUAUAACAUUUCUCCCACAUUAUAUUGAUAACAGAGAAAUUUUUAAGGGUCAGGGAAAUACGCUUUAGAAACUCAGUGGAUAAUGGGUGUACCCCGCUACCAUUCUCCAAUUAAAGAUCAAGUUUUUAUUUGCAGCAGGGUUUGAACCUGUGACAUAUGCCAAACACACAUCACACUUUACGUUCUCACCACUAGACCAAAUCCCUAAGGGUGCAUUUCUCCCACAUAUUAGGUACUAUAGACCAGUAAAGGGAUAAGGCAUUGUGUUACUUAUAAUUUAUGGUCCCAAAAUAUGGACCACAGUCGAGAACUAGGCUCCUACAGUAUAGAUCAUGUAAAUAGCAUCCUGGUUGUAUGACGUAGUAUUUAGGCAGUUCCAAGGCUCAAGACAACCAAAUCCUAAUGGGUUUGAGGGAUCCCAAGCACCAUUGACAAGGAAGCAUGGAAGCCAAAACAUAAUAUACAAAACAAAAAGAAGAGAAAAAUGUGGAAGAAUUUUACCAAUUAAAUGGAGGAAUAAAUAAAAGAGAAAACAAGUUUCAAAGAAUAUACCAAAAGUUGUUUUUGCCUUUUUGGAAGUUAAAAAAAAAAAUCAUUCCCAAAAAAGUAUACACUAAGCAUAACAUGUAGUGGUGAAGUAAAGACAAUCCCACAUGUUUAUCACCAACUCAUCCCUCACCAUUUUUGCAAUCUUCAGAUUCAAUUGAACUAAACAGCUUCAGAAAUACCAGUAGAAUCCUAAAAGUAUGACCUCUUUGACAUGUAGCCCUAGAAAAAAAAAAUUAAGCUAAAACUCUUUUUCACAGUGUAUUGGUGUGAUACCCCUUGUAAAUCCUGAUAUUGGACUGCAUCUGUAGUGGAUGGCAUAGGAGUGCUAGCACACUUAUUUUUCUUAUUUCGCUAUUUUGUAGUGUUGUAUCUGGGCCAUGGAAAGAUAAUUGAAGUACCAACUUUCAAUUGAAUACGAUAAACCUACUUUCCUAGUUUGUCCCUAAGCUACAAUAUCUAUAGGAAGUACAUCCUCCUACGUCCUGCCCAUAAAGUUUGGCUCCGUAAAAAAGAAGAGAACUCAUAUGAGAAACUCUCCUUUUCCACUUCCAUAACAGCUUCUCCUUAUUUUCAUGUUCAUCAAUUUACAAAGAGAAAGACUCAAAUGCAGUAUUAUGACAUCCUCCAUGAAUUUGGGGAGAAUUACCAGAAAAAUACAAUGGAAAAAGACAGCAGAACAGAAGGUAGCAAGAUCUGAGUAUCAAGUCCCACAACAAACCUGUAACACUUUAUAAACAGGAACCCCGUUUUCUUGCAACACACGUGGAUUCAGCAUGGUUACAAGCUGAAAUAACAGAUCUGGUUGCGCAUCAAACAGAUCGGGAAGGCUAUUACGCAUUACCUGCACAAAAAUUGCUAGUUAUAGGACAGCUACCAGCUGAGUAAGGCAAAAGAAAACUCAAAAAUUUGAAAUUUUCAAGGGAAAGCUAAAUAUAAAGUGAUAAAACCCAUUAUAAACACUGAUAAAAGUUAAUUGAAAUAGCAAUCAAGUAUUCUUUUAUCACUUCUUUCGCGACUAAAACAGGAAAAUAACUUGCUAUGACGCAAUGUAUCAAGGAACGUGGAAAAGUAAUCUUUUUUUGAACUUGGUAACUUUGUAUUAUAUCACAAAACAACACAUGGGUUGUACUGAAACCUUAUAUACAAGUGUACUCCUAAUUUCACUUCUCUAUGUCUAAAUUGAGUCUAGAACAUCAAUAAUAGAGACAGUGUCAUUUGAGUAUAACUGAUUACACCAAGACACUUAAAGUAAAAUGCAGUUUAUUUUACCUUUCUGCACAUUGUUCACUGUGCUCUCAAAAAAUCUUGAGUUCAUCUCUUUCCAGAUAGCCCACAAUGUAAUAAAAGGAUAUGCAACUAUUCUUAACACUACACAGACACUAAACUUAUACCCAGGGGCGGAGCCAACAUAUUGUUAGGGGUUCAUCCGAAUCCCCUUAAGCGGAAAAUAUUACUAUUUAUACAUGGUUAAAAUUAUUUUUUAUGUAUAUAUAGUAGAUGUCGAACCCCCUUCGUCUAGUUCUUGUGUUUACUUCUUCCAAUUUUGAACCCCUAAUUGAAAAUCCUGGCUCCACCACUGCUUAUACCCUAAUGAAUCGAGAUUAUUAACAUCUUCCAAAGCACCUUCUGGCAAAGCCCUGAAUGUAGGUUAAUCAUGUUAUUGUAUUUAGUCAUCAGGUACCUGUGGGUUUAGCAGGACUCCAGCUAUGCUCUACAUUUAUCAAGUUCACAUGCUAGAAUAACUGACCUUGAACACAUUCAUCUAUACAUGGAAUUACAGGUAAAUUAGAUUACAUUUACUUAUAAUAAAUGAUACAAAUCCAUAAAAUUGAAGAUCCAAAUAGUAUGAAGAAAAACAAUACUUCUCGUGACUCUACACUUGCCUCAGUUUGGUUCAAGUCUCCCAAAAAGCCAUUUGAAAAAAAAACACAAAGCAAUCAUUACACUAAAAUCUCCUAAAAGUCCAACAUUCAACUAUCAAGAACUUGAAUCAACAUGUAUUUGAGCCAAAUUUCCCUUCACAGUAGAGGCGAUCUGUUCUAACUUUACUAGCCCGCAAUUUCCACUAAUACACAGAAGUAAAGUCAAUGACACUAAUACAGGACAAGAAGUAUUUAUUGAAUAACCUUCUCAAAAGCUUGGGCUUCACUUCCAGGAACGCUAUACCAACAUUUUGGCUCUCCCCUGAAAGGAAGCAAGAAGAACUCAUUAACUGAUAAAUUUAUCAGGAUUCUUUAAAUGAACAUCAAGAUACUGGUCAUGCACAAGAUUUUUAAAAAAAAAAAAAACGUCAAAAUAACAUCAUCAGAUCAAUCAGGUGAUUGCAGAAGAGAUACCAGAGGGAAAUGCAAACGAAGACAAGAUGCACAAACUCACACAUGUUAAUAAGACAUUUCCAACUAAAUUAACAAUAUGCCUAAAGGAAAACCCCAAGAAGUGUUGCCUGAUAAACUUGGUAUGCUGUCAACAAGUACUUCAAAUUAUUUCUUCAACUAUUGCUUAUCAUGCUAUUCAAUGUUAUAUGAAGGAGUAGAUAGACGACGUUAUUCUAUUUUAUAAGAACAAUGAAAUAUUUGAAGCUGUGGACCUAAAACCGCUUAAAAUUCACAUGGACUUAGCAAGGAAUAGAACACAAUGGAAGCAAUGUAUCCAUAUGAGUUAUACAAACUAGUUAGGACAAAAGUCUAGUUGUUGUUGAUAUCAUUAGUUAGUAAAAGCUAUAUGUCUACUGUGAGAAAGAAUCCCUAGUAUUAGAGAGCUAGUUUGUCCUAACAGACAAAUUCUUGAAUAUUAAAAUGAAAAAGGCCCAAAUGAAGUGUAUGGUUAUUGAGGUUUCAAAUAGUUGAUCCCAACAAUUUCGGGUUGAGGUAUAGUCAUUCUUGUAAUUGAACUUCAAUAACCAAUGAACUAUGAAAUAUAGGUGUGUGCAUGUGUGUGACUUUGGGGGAGGGUGCAGAAGGGUAAAGGAAAGCUCCACUCGGUUGGUUAGAAAGUGAUCACAUCACAGUUUACAGAAGGAAAAGGUUACUAGAAAAGAAGAGCAAGGCUAUAUAACCUGUUUCACCUUUAAUCAUACUUUUUUUUGGAUUUACAGGGUCUUGUUAGGAAUUUUUUUUAUUUUAUUUGUGUGUGUGUGUGUGUGUGUUGGGGGGGGGGGGUGGGGGUUUGAUGAUNNNNNNNNNNNNNNNNNNNNNNNNNNNNNNNNNNNNNNNNNNNNNNNNNNNNNNNNNNNNNNNNNNNNNNNNNNNNNNNNNNNNNNNNNNNNNNNNNNNNNNNNNNNNNNNNNNNNNNNNNNNNNNNNNNNNNNNNNNNNNNNNNNNNNNNNNNNNNNNNNNNNNNNNNNNNNNNNNNNNNNNNNNNNNNNNNNNNNNNNNNNNNNNNNNNNNNNNNNNNNNNNNNNNNNNNNNNNNNNNNNNNNNNNNNNNNNNNNNNNNNNNNNNNNNNNNNNNNNNNNNNNNNNNNNNNNNNNNNNNNNNNNNNNNNNNNNNNNNNNNNNNNNNNNNNNNNNNNNNNNNNNNNNNNNNNNNNNNNNNNNNNNNNNNNNNNNNNNNNNNNNNNNNNNNNNNNNNNNNNNNNNNNNNNNNNNNNNNNNNNNNNNNNNNNNNNNNNNNNNNNNNNNNNNNNNNNNNNNNNNNNNNNNNNNNNNNNNNNNNNNNNNNNNNNNNNNNNNNNNNNNNNNNNNNNNNNNNNNNNNNNNNNNNNNNNNNNNNNNNNNNNNNNNNNNNNNNNNNGGAUAUCAACUGGUUAAUGGGAGAUGACAAAACGGUAGGCAUCUAUAGAUGUACUAGCAUUUUCGAGAAGUAAUUUAGAAUCUCUAUUCUCAUUGACCACACGUACAAGCUACUAAUAAAGGUGUAGAUUACACUUUUCAUAAUUUACAAACAGCCUAUUCUGCAGAAAGAACGAGAUAAGCUUCAUGGAUUAGGUAUUAUAAAACAUUUGAGCAGAAGAGGAGGAGGAUACAAGUGAUGAAGCUGCCAGUGAGCUAGCAACCUAAGCAAGACCAUGAAUAAAGAUUCAUGCCCCAAGGGCUCAAUUAAGUAGCAAAGGUUGAGGAACUUGUAAUUUAGGUCACAAGUUUGAGCCCUACACUAUGUGAACUAAGCCUAGUAUCUAAUGGAGAAGGAUACAGUGGUGGACCCAUUAUCCCAAGUUUUGAAGUUUGCAGUUGGUCCUAAGGGUUGGCGGCACCAGACGAAUUUCUCGGUCACUAAAAAAACUAAGAAAGACCAUGAACCUACAUCAGCCAAAUACAGUUGAAUAGGACCUCAUGAAAGCAAAAUCAUAGAUGGUGAAAACCUAAUAGACAAUAUUAAGCAGAUUUUAUGAAGAACAUUUGUAAGAUUUGGACAUAUGACCAACAUGCCAAAUCUCUAGCCUUAAUAGGGAAGGCAUAUCAAAUCACAUUAGGCAACAAUGCAAAGAAACAAAUAUCAAGAUUCAACUGCAAAAAAGUAUCAGAAAGAAGUUCCAUAGCAUCACAACUAAACAAAUAAACUUAUCUUUUAUUGCAUGCACAUGUAAAUUACAUGAAACUACUGGUUAGAUAGAAGUAUGUGACAUUUCUCUGAGUGAUUGUAUGUCAUUUAAUGAAACGAACUUAUUCUUUUCCAAAUCAAUAGCAAACCUUCUAAGCAGAUCUUAUUCUAUUGUUUGUCUGGUAUAAAAUCUAAAGAUUCUGAAAUGUAUUCAUUUUGCUAUCAUGUUGACUUUCAGUAGAAGUGAAAGAAGAGUUUUUUUUUUGUAUGACGUAAAUAAUUCUAUAAAUCUUAGCAAGCCUGAUACAAAGAAGUAGAGAAAUUUCAUAAUAAUAUCUUACCAUGUAGCCAUUUAUUUUGUGGGAACAAAAAAAUUGACUUAAGAUUAAAAAAAAAAUAAUAACUAUAAUAAUUGGCUAUCGUACCAGUGAUGAUAAUUCAUGGAGUAAAAGCAGUGGUCUUCAAAAUGCCAGCAGAAUGAAGAGAAUAGCAUUCCAAUAUACAGCCAAGGCACCAUAACACCAGCAAUGCUAUGAUGUACAGCUCGAAGCAUCGAACCUGGCAGCUUGGGUAAGUUAUUGAGGUUCCAAGGGCUAGCACAAUAUUCAUCCCAUGUACCUGGUUCAACUGAUGAUGGCUUUUCAUCGGUUAGACGUGGAAAUCCACUACCAUAGAUGGAAGUAUCCAAGUCACUGCCAUAUUUCACUUCAACCUCCCCAGCUGAUCCCUCCACAAUUUCCCAGAACUUCUUCUCCAAUUGCACCUGUGAAAUUGAUGUGGAACCAAACCACUUUUUCUUGGCACGAUCAGCAAUGCGCCUAAAUGCAUCCAAUGGCAACUCUCUGCCAGGUGCGAAACCAAAGCUAUCCUUUUCAGAAUUCAAGCAUUGCAAGCAAUACCAGUUCCCGGGUGGAACUUGUUCCAGAGGAGGUGAUAAACAGAACAUAUGCCAUCCCUUGUUGCACCGAUCACAGAGAAGCAUCACCUCCCCAUGCAAUCCACUUUUGCAUUGCUCACAUAUUUGAUCGUGUUCUUCCUCCUUCGCCUUACAUGUUUCAGUUCGAUCACCCUCACUGUUCUUUCUCCUUCUCUUACUACUUGAGGAUGGGGAGUCUGACUCCCUUUUUCUCUCACUUUGGUUUCCUCUCCUGCAACUUCUAUUUCCCAGCUUAUUUAACUUAUUAUAGUACUCUUCAUAAUCAUACAAAUGUUCCAGAUACAAUUGAAAUAAUACAUGCUUGGCGCACUCCGAAAUCUUCCCAGCAGGACGAACAAACCUAAAAACCUCACCCCACUUCUUCUCCUUCACCACUUUAUCAUACCCUCCAAACCGCUUAACAAAAUUAUACAACUUGCACAAAUCAAGGUCCUCUCCCUCAAACACAAUACGUUUUUUUGCCUUCUUCCCACAAUGAUCCUCUAAGAACCUAUUGUAUUCCAACUCAAACGUCUUCGGAUCACAAGACGCACACCGAGACUGUAACUGAUGAAUAGCUUGUGUUUUUGUCGGAAAUGUGAAAGUAUUCAAAUCCAAUGCAUAAGGGGGUUUCCAACUCUUAGGUGGAACAAUUUUACAAAUACCAUAUUUCUCAGCCUCUGGCCUGAUCUUGUAAAUAAACUCUAAAGGGUCCUUAAAUUCAUCCUCAGUUGGAUAAUAUACUGGCCCUGGUGGUAUAUUCAAUAACCCACUUGGGGAUGCACUUGUAUUUUGCCCUAACACCCCUUUCUCUACAGCCCUAGGUCUCCCUCUCCCCAUUAAUGUUAAACUACUAUAUCAUCAAGAUUAUCAAUACCCAAUAACAAAAUCUGCAGGAAAGAUUCAUACAAACAUUCAUAUAUGCCUCAAAUCGCUUAAAAAUUCAAGAUUCUUGAAAUGUAAAGGUACAAAAACUAUUAAAAAUGAAAUCUUUAACAUACCUUAGAAUAAAGAAAGCAUAAAAAUUGAGUCUUGAUAGAUUCUUGUCCCUCAAAUUGAAGAAAAAAAAACUCUCUUUCCCAACGUGGGUGUGUUUUAGUGUUUAGAUAUCUCUUGUUGUGUAUUUGUUAGUCUUCUUUUGGCUUUUUUCUUCUUCCUUUUUAUUUUAUUUUUUAUUUUAUUGCUUUUUUAGGUUAGUUUUUUUGCAGGUUUUGUGGGAACUGGGAUUUUUAUAAAAAGGUCUAAAUUUCAGAAAUAUUACGACAGUGUUUUAAGGAAUCUAUGGGACUCGAAGAAUCUAAAGAGCCUGAGGUCACGGAUUUGGUUGAUUAAGCAAAAGAAAAGUAAAGAAUUAGGGGUCGGUUGGUACGAGGAAUACAAAUAUUGAUGUCUCGAUAAAUCCGACAGUUUAAAUGAAAAGUAAUUUUUAUUUAAAACAAAUCAUAUUAGGUUCGACCCUUGAGAUUGGGAAUGGAUAUUGUUUUUUGUUAGGAGUUCAUCUGAAUUUAUAACUCUAAAUUUAUAAAAUAUAUGAAAUAUUAUAUAGAUGAAGUUAUAAUUUUAACAAGACAUUGAAAAUACUAGGAGUACAAUAUUAAGAAGCUUAAAAUUGAAUUCAUUAAUAUGGGUGACAUGACCUUGAAUGAGAAAGUACGGAGGUCAAAAAUUAGGAUAGAAAAGUUAGUUGGCAAUUGAACGUUUUCUUCUUUUCAUGCAGGAGGGUUUGGUGAUCGUACUUUGAUCUUCUUUCUUAUUAAUGGUAUUAGUACUAUACUCAUAGUUUCUUAUUCUUCAUAUUCGAUUAUCACAUGUGUUUUUUUUAAAAAUUCAAAAUCAAAGUAUUUUGUUGUCACUAAUGUUCAAACAUUUAUAUAUUAUGUAGUACUCAUCAUUUCACACUAUUUUGUUGUUAUUACAACUCUCGUUUGGGUUCUUUCUUUUUCAAAUUACUUGAAAAUGCUCUAUUUUAAGUCAAUGAUAUGUCAGAAACAAUAUUUUUGUUUAGUUCAUGAAAUGUGGGUAAGAUCUGAGUAUAUUAUUGCCAUCUCCAGACCUCACGUAUGGAAUUACACUAAAUAUAUUACAGUUAUUGUUAUUUUAAACUAUAUGUGCUCAAGAUCAUUGAUUAAAAAUAGAUAAAUUUUAUUCAUUCCAAUUUAACCUUGUGUGAUAAACUUUACCAAAUCAUUAUAAUAUCAAGUUUUUCCUUUUUUUCAAAUUUUCCCCAAUCAUAUUAGAAUUUAAAUAUGUAGUUUUUUUGGGUACACUUUACAAGUAGUGAAACAAAAAUAAUUUCUCACCAUACAUAGUUGAAUCAAUAAUUGUUUAAUAUUUCUCAAUAAAUAAUUCUACGUUACCGUAAAUAUAUAAGGUAAUACAUGUCAUUAUCUUUAACAAAAAGAAAAAGAAAGUUUUCCACCCACUAUUGAGUAAUCGUUCAUUAAGGUCCAACAAAAUUCAGAUUCUCGCUGAAAAUUCUUUAUUGAAAGAUAAAACGUUCCUUAAUAAAAACGACUCUAUAUCUAGAAGGACUUGAAUCCAAUCUUUUAAUAUUCAAAUAAUGACAGAGACUUAAAUUUUAAUAUUGAUAUGUACAUAACUUUAUUUUUAUUGAUCUUUUAAAGGCAGAAGUAUUAUUUUUGACAAAUGAUUCAAGUAAAAUAUAUUUAUGACAUUCAACUACCUACUAAUCUUCUACUCUGAUUUUCAAUUGUAUUUUUUUCUUAUAAUUACGCCUCUCUAGAAGCUUCCACCUUUUCGCUUCCUUGAUGAAUCGAACUCAUAAUCGUAAGAUUUAAGACUGAAUAUUAAAAAUAUUUACCAUCUGAACAAUCUUCUUCUCGAUUUCAAAAUAUAAUUUUGUCAUUUUUUUCCAACAUCAAGUCAAGUCCAAGUCAAUGUUGAUUUAUUUAUUGACUUCUUACUUCUUAGUUAAGAAUAAGAUUUUGGCGUGUUGGCACGCUCUUGACGAGCGCGUAUAGUAGUUAUAUAAUUGGGGUUUAAUUGUGGAUAAAACUGUCUAGGGCUUUUCGCUGAUUGGCCCGUGGUUUUCUUGACCCGGAAGGAAAAAACAGUGGGCUAUAUAAAAAGGGAAAGCUUCUUGGGCCCAUAUGAACUUUUUGGGCCCAACCAUAUACACUGAUUCAAUUUCUCUAAAAGAGCCUAUUUUUUCGAAUAAUUGUGGUGUUUGGAUUAGCUUUGUCUGUUUUUAACUAUGUUACUAAGUUAGCUUCCAGGCACCUCGACUAUUUCACUAGACUCUUGCUACCCUUUCCACUAACUUCACAAGAGUCCACUUAUAUCAUGUUCCAUCAUGUAUUUGCUAUCUUCCACCAGCUUCACAAGAGUCUAAUUAUAUCGCGGUGGUGUCGGAUUAGCUUAAGUAUAUCUCAACUAUUUCACUAGAUACCGACUAUCUUCCACCAACUUCACAAGAGCCUACUUAUGUUCAUGGAGGUGUCAAGAUAGCUUCCACGUACUUGUUACCCUUCCACCAGCUUCAUAGGAGCCUACUUAUAUUUAUAGAGGUAUCGAGUUAGCUUUCAUGUACCUUAAUUAUUCCGCCACUGGUUACGUGAUAAUUUUCACAAGAACCUACUCAUAUCCUAAUGGUUCAUCUUCGUGUCAUCCCCUCAGCUUAGUUCCUAUUUCGUCAUUAACAUUCAUAGAGAUGCUAUUUUGCAGCCCACAGGUAGCAGCUAAAAAGUCUUGUAUUGAUACACCACUUCAAUCCUGACAUUAUCUUGUUAAGCAAUAUGAAUUUUUAACCAUGGAUAAGCAGUGAGCAUAAGGUUUGCGUAUACACCACCCUCCCCUCACUCAUCAUAGGAUAACGCCGGGUAUGUUGUUGUUUGGAUAAGGCUGAACCUCAUGCAUCAGAUACUCUAUGUUGCAACUAGCACUGUUGCAAAUGUAGCUGCUACCUGUGGGCUGCUGUAAUAACAAUAAUGCAGUAUCUACCUGAUAAAAUUACAGAACACUUUGCUGCUAAAUAGGCAUUAGACGCCGCGGUGCGUCACUGUGUGGGUGGGUGUGAGUGAGAGGGGAGAGGGGGAAGAAACAAUCUAAGCAGAAACAAGUAAAGUUGGUCAGCCAAGAUUCAUUUAUUACUUUAGCAUUGCUAUGUUACUUUUCUGGGGAAAAUGUAUGUCCCAGUGUAUACAAAUGCUAUCUGGAACCAGAUUGAUCACAUCCAAGGGGAGAGCUACAUAUGACGUUUUCGAGACGUAGAUACAUGUAACAUAUCUUAAUCUAGCUAGCUAGAUUAUUUGUCUAACGAUGGGCAAAAUCGGCUGAUAUAACUCUCAAAAAGAAAUUGAGAAAUCAUUUACAACACAGGAAAAAGACAGAAUUGAAAUGGCACUCUCAAACAACUUCAAUAGAGAAGCUCCUCAAAGAUAGGAUCCACACUCUGUCCCCACUUCCCAUGGUACAAUUCCAGUAGCUUCUCAGCUGGUGUUACACCUACCAGAAGUACAAAGAACAGUUCAAUUGAAAUUCUAAACGGCUCUAGCAGUUAAAUAAUGUAUUAUCAUUUGAUAUUGUGUUGUAUCCAGAGAACAAGUAAAGAGAUACUAACACAAGUCCAAAAAGACAAUUUCAACCAAAACGUCGUUACUUACCUGUUUUGACAACCUCGGUUACUUCAUUCAAAAAUCCUGUUUCCUUAAAGCCUCUUCUUUCUAAGCCUUCCUGAAGAUCAGAAAGCAACUAACAAGUUAGUAAACAUGUAGAAAUAUACCAAGCCAUGGAGCAUUAGAAGCUUUAACCCACCUUUGCCAACUUGACAACAUCUUGAGCAACAUGCAUAAGCAAUCCAUCUCGAAAUGGUGUCUUCAGACCACUUUUUGGCACCUACUAAAUGGGGUGAUAUUAGUCAUCUCCAAUAUUGCGUAUAAGUUAUUAACGACAAAUCUGAGGAACUGAAAAUUAUAGCUUAACGAAAAGCAACUGUUUUUUUCUUAGAUGAAGAGUUCAUGGUCACACUGCCCCAUUUUGUUUCUGAAUGAUUUUGCUUGUCCAAGUUCCGCAAGGAGAAGAGCAAAGCAAGUAUAUUUUAAUACAGAUAGGAUUUCAGAGUUCAUAAAAAUAAAGUAUUUACAGUUUCUCUUUACCCAAGCAUGAACAUAUGGACCAUUUCCAACACACAACAUUGAAAUCAUCAACAAGAUAAAGAAUAGAAAAAUGAAUAGAGACUCUACAAUAAGACAACUGGAUGCUUUCUCAUUUUCUCUUGACAAAUUCUGAAGUUCAAAUUUGACAUCACGAGAAGAUGACAAAAAAAAACAGAAAAAAAGAAGAAGGAGAAGGAAUUGUUACAUGACAAUAAAACAUAGAGAAUAGCACCACAGAGCAGAUAUAUCAGCAGCCUUGGAUACAUUAACUAAUUACAGAUUAGGUAGGAAAUGCUUGAUAAUCUUUAAUGAGUAAGGAUAUAUUACCUUAUUCCUCAACAUGUCUCUUUCUUCCGCAGUCCAAUCAGACGUCAUGUCUAAAACACUUUGCAAAGACCCCUCAUCGUAGAGUAUACCCACCUGAAAGAAAAAAGAAGGAAAAAAGAAGAUGACUGAGCUGUUUGGUUCAAAGUAGCCCACAACAAACUUUGGAAGUGUCCCAACAAACAGGAGAAAGAGUAAGAAGCUCCUCUCAGUGGGAGGUGAGGUGAGCACAACCAUAUUCUAUUCUCCCUUUCCCUGUUGCUUUACCGAGUAAUACUUGCUUUUUGUUUCCUUCUUUUACAAAAAAACAACAUCAUAAAUCCUAGAGAAACAGAUUUCAUACCCAGAAUGCAGGCAAUGCACAUAACCGUCUCCAAGGCCCUCCAUCAGCACCCCUCAUUUCCAGAUAUCUUUUGAGUCUGACCUGAUAAAGUUAACCCGAGUUCAUACUUCCAUAACCAUACAUAGACAAACCAGUAGUAAAGGACAUUUUCUUGGAUGAAGCUUGCAUACCUCAGGAAAUAUUGUUGUGAGAUGAUUCUCCCAAUCAUUAAGAGUAGGAUAUUCGCCGGGAAUAGGCGGAAGUUUUCCAUUCAUGAAGUCCUGCAGCAAUGUUGUUAAAUAAGCACAAGAGAGUGACAUUUAUAAAUCUGUUAUGGUUAUAAAUAACAUACCCGGAAAGACAAUCCAGAACAAUCAACAUACUUCUUCUUCCGAUAGACAAAAUACAUAGGGACGUCAAGUGCAUAAUCCACAUACUGCUCAAACCUGUGUCCAUUAGAAAAGAAAAUGUUUGCUGUGAAAAUGAAAUUUAACAAUGGAAGUUCUGAAGAUGACAAAGAAUGAAUUCUGUUAACACUAAAUACAUAUUCAUUUGAUUCCUAACCCAUCACAUAACUCUGUUGACAAACCUCAAAACAGGUUAGGACAGCCCAUCUCGAACUCCAACAAAUCUUAUCCAUUUCCCUAACCUAGCUCAUAUAUAAUGUACGACAAGUACAUUCACCGUGAAAUACAUUAAACAAAAGGACCAUGCGCUUAAAAGUACAAGGAAACACGUUUUUUCUGACAAGUCAAGAAGCCUUUUAAAAGAUGACCAUCCCACAGAAGCCUUAGGUAACAAAAAGAUGAAUACACGAUUCCAGCUAAAAAUCAUAGUGUGAAGGCAUAAAUGCCCGAUAUGAACCUCAACUCAGCAUUCAAAAGAAGUGAGGUUGAUUGCUAGUAAACAAGAAUGUCUCCUUCAUGUGGUCACAUGUACUAUAUAAUUAUGAACCAGCGCAACAUAUGUGGUUAAAUAGUAUAAGUUGAAUUACCCUUGUCGUUUUAAGUAAAAAGGUUGAAUUGUUUCUUCACUUUUUCAAAACAAUCAGGUUAGACAUGAGUUGUUUAAGGCAUUCAUUUACAAAUACCACAAGAAAAAGAAAAUGUUAAUAUGAUUCCUACUGCCCCUACCAUUUGCCCUCCAACUUUAACAAACGUAAUCUCGACUGAAGAAAGAAAAUAAUAUGUCACGAUCAAAGAAACUAUAACUAUUUGCCAAAACAGGAGAGCUUACCCAAAAGAGUCAUCAAAGACGAAAGGAAGCAUCCCAGCGCGGUUAUUAUCUGUAUCAGUCCAAAUGUGGCUGGUGAAACAAACAAAAAUUUGUUAUGUACAACUUCGAUUAUAGUCCUCAGAGAAACAAGAAUUAUAUUUUUAAACACAUGCCUUCUCUUGCUGAGAUAACCAUUAGGUUUUCCUUCAGUGAAAGGCGAAUUUGCAAAUAGAGCUGUAGCAAUCUGUUUCAUUAUAUAGUUAGAUAACUACAUAACUUUCAUGUAGAAAGAGAAAGGACAGAAAGGACAAAGGUACCAUACAGGCUGCAAGGCAAGACCAGCACGAAACUUUCUGAUCAUGUCAGCUUCAGAACUAAAGUCCAGAUUUACCUGUCAACAACAUAUUCGUAAAUAUUUUUUCAACUUACUAAUGAAUGUUACCACGCAGGGCAUGACGUGGAGCCCAGACACAAAUGGGCAAAAAAAAAAGAAUUGAAUAUAGCUUUUGAAUGCUGCACAGGGGUAUGCACUCCAAUAGUCAAGGGGCAAUGGCAUCCCAUCAAACUGGAACGAAAUCAAAAGAAAAAAAAUUAAACCAUUGAGCUUACCUGAACAGUGCAUGUUCUAAACAUCAUAUCCAGCCCAAGUGAGCCAACUUUAGGCAUGUAAUUUCUCAUAAUCUCAUAUCUCCCCUGAGUCAAAGUACUUUGUCAGUAGAAAUACCAGCUGAUCGCAGAUCUAAGAGGUCAAAUCAUACUUGAAAAAAGUAAGAAAUAGAUAUAUCUUUCAAAGCUAGAAGAACACAUGACAACACACAUAAUAUUGAUGUGUGAGAAGCACAUGAUGCUGUAUAUAGUAUAGAAUAUGAAUAGAGGUAGAUGGUGCAAAUAUUAUUUUUAAAUUACAGCUGCAAAUCAAAAUAACAUACCAUAAUUCUGGCUUAGUUAAAAGUAAAUAAGUAAAGAACAUAAAAGAAACAAGUGGGGGGAAACUAUUUGCAUUUCUAAAUUGUGAAGACUCUGUGGGAAAAAAGGUACGCAAGAUCUAUUAAUAAUUUCCAGUUAUUGGAAAUAAUUACUAGAUCUGGUACAAGGAUCAGGUUUAGCAUUCACUUACUGUCAAAUCGUAGUUUUCUUUUUGAUCAGGAAAAGAAAAAGAAAGAUAAAUAUUUUUAUCUUCGAGUUGACAGUAAGAGAAUAGUACAGCAACUAAAAGAUUUUUUUUAGCUUUCUUUUGUUCUUUCUUCUUCAUCCUUUUUAUUAAGUCCGUAAGAGAAGAGUCGAAGAAGUGGGGAUUAUUAAUCUAGAUUAGCCUAAUGGAGAUGAUGAAUGAUUAGCUCAAAAGGAAAGAAUUAAAGUUCUACACCUUUAUUUACUUGUUCUCUGUGUCUUUUAGAGAAGAAAUAAGAUGUGGGACAAGCAACAUCUGAACCAUCAAUCUGAAUAACUAAUCAUUAGAACAAUAUCUCAUCUGUCAUCUCUUCGGCUCCUAGAAAUAUCAACGAUGAUUAGACACAAAAGGACUUAUUCAUCAUUUUCAUGAUCGGAAGGAGGAUUAGAAAGAAAUUUCACUUCAAAAAUAACUAUGCGAAAUAGACAUGUCUGGUAAGGUUUGUAGGUAAAAAGAUGAGGUGUUGCAAAGCGAUGAAAUCAGAGAGAAUGAGCUUCGGGCUACACUAGUUUCAUCAAAUAAUAAUGAAAAAUGAAAUUACAAUAGACACGGGAUUCUACUGCACUUGACAUGCUGAACCAAUAUGUGAAAUGGUCGUGUACAAAAAAAUUAACAUCUUUUCACUGUUAAAAUAGCAGUCUCAAAGAGAUAAGAUGCUAAGUUACCAACACACAAAACAAAUCUUUUGGUUACAACAUCGAUCAGCAUAUUGUUUUUAGUUUUUUACCUUCGGCAUUAUUGGUAUAUCUUUCAGCCCCCACUUUGGCUGGAAUCCAGUUCCUAAGAAUCCAAUUCCCAUCUCUUCUGCAACAGCUUUAACCUGUACCAUUAAACGAAAACUAUUACAUAUCAGCAAAACUUAAAUUUUAUCCGUGCAGAUUUCUCCUGGGGUUGGGGGGAGAAAGGGCCUACGUCCUUUGCAAGCAUACUAGACGGGCACAUACUGUGAGAAAGUUCAAAAAAUUGAAGAUCAAAGGACAGGAGUAUGCUCCUUAUUGUCUUCCAAAAGGACCUCAAAAGGUAGUUAAGACAAUCUAAGGGCCCGUUUCGCCAUGCAAUAUGGUAUCAUGAUAUGAUAUCAUAAUUUCAGAACAUAAAUUGUAGUGUACUAGUCUUUAAUAUAAUACUCCCACAUAGUACGGACAAUUUCCUCACGUUGAACUUGCAUUUCUCGAUCAUGUGACCGAGAAGACGAACCAACAUUGUUACUUUGAGUUGUAAUAAAUACAAAACGGUAGAAGUAAUAAAUUAGGUGUUGGAGUAAAUGAAGAGGGCAAAUUUAUUACUCAACAAUCGGUUGGUGUGAGUUAAAGUGACUAUAUGUUGGUGAGAAAAAUAAAUUUUAUGUCGGUGAGAAUAAUAAAUUUUCAAAAGUAAUAUGAUGUGAUUAUAAAUUUUAUUUACAUAUGAAAUAAAUUGUUAGUAGAUAUAAACAUGGGGUAGUUUUAACAAAAUAUAAACUUGUGGAUCAAUUUUUGUAUUAAAAAUAUCUCAAAUCAUGAUAUGGAAUUCCCAUAUCAUGGUUUUUGGAGAAUAUGGAAUCACAUCUCAUGAUAUGGAAUCAUGAGAUGGAAUCAGCAUAACAUCGCAUGUCCAAACGCUGAUUCCAUCUCACGAUUCCAUAUCGUGAUAUGGUAUCGCAUGGCCAAACGCCUACUAAGAAACCAGAUUUGAAGAAAAGUCUCUUGGAAACUUAAGAGAUCUAUUUUGUCGUGUAUAUGUGUUUCGGAGUAAAGAUUUUUUUUUUUUGUAUAUAUAUGAUAUUUGAAACCAUGAUCGUUGUACAGAUGCAUGGUGCUUAGUAGUAAUAUAAUACCUUGAUGUAUUAAUAGAAAAAAAUAAACAAAUGAACCUUCAUGAUCAGAGAAACACAAUGUCAAACUCCCUUAAAGUUGACCCCCAAGCUCAUUUGCAGUUUCAACAAUGUUAGACUAACACAACAGUUAUGUUUAUCAAUGUGUUAAAGGGAAAUGUUCAUACACUUAACAAAGCAAGGAAAACAAGAGAUAUGAGACCAAGAAGCUCCAAGAGAAUACGUGGAACCCUUCUUUUGGAUAGUUGCUUGGGUAAGGUUGAGGUAGAUAAAACAAAUUUCAAAGCUGAGAUGAAUAGCUUCUGUUUUGUUGCCUCCAAAUGUUCAUUGACAAGACAGUUAGGAAGUCAUAACUUUACUUUCACCCCAACAAUGUUCUUUUGCAGCAAGAUUUUCUUAUACAACUCGAGACUCUGAUCAGAAGUACCAGAAUACUGGGUAAAGAAUCCCUAGUGUAAUAAGUCAUCAACCACCUGAAGCAAAAAUGGCCAACACAUUUGCAGGAUUUCUCCAACUUAAAAAAUUAAGAUUCCCUUUUAUUCCAACCAAGUUAUCGCAUAAUUAAAGUUCGCUUACAUGUCCCCAGUGCAGAUUGUAGUUAGAAAGAUCUUAAUUGCCCACUAUUUCAUUAAAAAGGAAAUUGAUGGAGUUUCAAAAGUACAAACCUGGUAAAGAUGUGAAUUAACCUCUGCACAAGUUUGAUGCAGUGUUUCAACUGGUGCACCACUAAGUUCAAACUGACCACCAGGUUCCAAUGAUAUGCUUUGCUUUCCCUGUGCAAAGGCAGUGCAAAUUUAUCCACCAAUUAUGCUAAAGUAAAUUACUACUUACUUGAGAUCAAAAUGAAUUAGGAAAUUAUGAUUCUAUUCAUGCUAAGUUGCAUAAUAUAUUGUAUGGAGCCAUGACGAAUUCAGCCUAGAAUAUAUUAAACCAAAGUUAGCAUGCACCAAGUUCACGUUCUACCUGUUUCAGGCCAAUAAUCUUGUCACCCUCCAUUACUUUUUCCCAGUCAAACCGCUCGGCAAUACCAUUUAGUAAGUCAGCUAUUUGAUCAUACUUCAUGGGUCGCAGAGUUCCAAACUCGAAACCAAACUUUUCAUGUUCAGUGCCUAUCCUGCUCAUCGAGUUUUGAGAGAACAAGAAAAGUUGAACUGAUUAAUAUGGUCUAGAUCCAGACACACAGUUAAGUAAAACAAACUAUCCAAAUUAUGUGUGAGGCAGAAUCCUAGUUACCACAUUUAUGCAAAAAUACCUGAUCCAGGAAUGUCUCUCAAACUCCAUGUUCAAAAUUUUUAUUACCGAAAUUUCAACAAUUCAAAAUUUGCAAGAAAAUUAGAGGCAGCAGUGUCCUAGGAAAUAGAUUAAUGUUUCCAGUGUUCAAGUUUAUGCAAAAAUACCUGAUCCAGGAAUGGCUCUCAAACUCCAUGUUCAAAAUUUUUAUUACCGAAAUUUCAACAAUUCAAAAUUUGCAAGAAAAUUAGAGACAGCAGUGUCCUAGGAAUUAGAUUAAUGUUUCCAGUGUUCAAGUUUCCCAAAUGAUACAACUUGUUAGUUCAAUGAAAAAGAAUUGCAUCAUGUCCUAAUUCCCUAGUAUCCACAUCUUGAAUGCAUGACGGUGAGAAUUUAACCAUGAUAUUUAUAUUUUUUAGAAAUAGAAAAUGAAAACUAACCAGAAUAAUGACAUAUAAAAAGUAUAUAAUACAUUUACCGUAGCAUACACUACAACAGAAGCCGAAGAAAGAAUAACUGCAUAAAAAAUAGCAGUAUAAUAAAAAUACACAAGCGAUGUGGAUUGAUUCAUGAAUUACUCAACAUACUUGAAAGACAAUCAAGGCAUAUAUGUGGUGAAUGAAUUCUACUUAUAAAGGCCAAACGAGAGGAUGAAUAUCAUCUUCUUGCUGAACUAUAUGCAACUGAAAUUUAAGAACACUAAGAAAAGUUUAACUUCGAACCUCCAUUUUUCUUUGGUUUUGCAUCCAGAAGCAAGAUAUCCUACAAGAUCUUCUUUUGUUAACGGCUCUGCUGCAACAACAGCAUCCUCUGUUGGAGGACUUGCAGCAACAAUUGUCAGGCCUCCACGUCUACUUCCCACUCCUAUGAGAUUCAAAUGAUUCCCUUGCACUCGUCUUGAGGCAUUCCGUGAAGAAAUAUCCACGCCAAAGCAUAUCUCCCUCAUUUUGAACAUCUCCAUAUUGUUCAUGAUGUUGCUAUGUCCACCGAUACAUCUUAUCUUUUCAGAGUAAAUGCAAUGUGAAGAACCUGCCUGAGACAUCAAGGCCAUGCUUUGUGCCUGAAUAUCACAGGAAAAACUGAUGUCAACCACUUUUAACAAGAAUGUCAUACCAUUCGAGUGAAAAAGGAAUUCAGAUUAUUGUUUAACUUGUGUAUAACAUUAGUAACAGAAGAGGAUAAUUCAAUAAUGAUUGAAGAGUACUUUUGAUGGGAAACAUCAAUGAACCUCUCGUGCCUUGGUUGAGCAUAGUUGUACACCAAUUGAAUAGGGCCAACCCAACUACCCAGAAGGCUCAAUCACCAAUCCGAACAAAUAUUAAAGUUAAUUAAUGUAUACUAUAGAAGCAACAUAAGAUUCGAAUCGCAAUAAUCUAGAAAUUUUCAUUCAGUGAUCUACAAUUUUACAUACUGUAAACUCCCCCACCCCACCCCCAUCUCAUCCCAUAUCGAAACACAGCUACAAUAUAGAAAAUGUGGCUUGAUAUUGCUAUCGUGCAUCAAUUAUACCUGAAUCCCAAACCAUCAAAUGCAAUCUUACACAAUGCCAUUUCACUCAACACUUAAAACUACUCAGAAGAACUCGAGAAACUGAAACUUGUAUAGCAGUCUAGUCAACGAUACAAGUCUUGUUCACAUUACUUAAGCAUUUAUUUCUUUCUUCUUUCUAGUUUACUAUGCAUGUCAUUCAAAUAUUCAAUCAGACUACCACAAACCACAUGUAUAAAUUUUGAAUCUUUAAUCAAUACUAUCAAUACCCAUGUGGCAACAAACAAGAAUUACAACAAAACUAUCAAAACCAUCAAACCAAAACUGAAAAAAGAAUCACGGGGCUUCAGAAAAAACUGAAUCUUGAUUAACCAAAACAACUUCAUGAUGAAAGAAAAAAAAGAAAAACUAAACAGAAAUGCAACAAAAACAUACAAAAGAAUCAUGGGUAUUGCAGAAAAAUUGAAUCUUGAUUAAAAAAACUAACUGAAACCAACAUAAAAGGUGACAAAAAGGUGAUACCUUGGCUCAGUAAACUGAAAAAGAAAAACUUUGUAGGGUUUGUUCUAUAGAAUUGACUGGAAAUUGAAAGAAAACCUUCCAAUAUAUAUAUAGAGAAAAUUGGGUAUCAGCAAAAUGAUUUGGAUUUUGGUGUGCUGAGGCGGCUAGAGCUUUAUCACUCCCAUUUCUUUAAUUUUGUUAAGCUAUAAAGAGAGAGUACUGUAGCAGAUUGAAUGAAAAAGAAUGGUUAAGGUGGCACGGGGAACUAAAAGGUGCGGCACUAUCCAUAGUUUCUUUUUGUGGUCCCUCUUAAUAGACAUAUUUUUUACGUAUAGUUUUUCAUCUGUUAUUCGAUAUUUGUAUAAAGAAAUAUUUUCUAUCAAAGAUUUUUUCAUAUUCAAAGAUCGAAAUUGAGUCUUUCUCAUUAAGAAAUGAGUAGUUCGAUCAAUCUCCUGGUGACAAUUAUUUAUUUGUCAAUGUUUUCUUCUUAUUUUGAUUUCUCGAACCGAGAUUCAUAAAUUUAAAUUUUGACUUUUUAAAUGUUAUGUAUAUAAUAAAAUGUUUGUUAAUAUCACAAGUGUUUAGAACUUGGAGUCUAUUGAUAAAGUUAUCUAAUGCUUCAUCUUUUGAUUUGUAUUAAAGAGAAUGUAGAAGACGUUAAGUUGAAGAGUUACAAUCGUCGGAAAUUGCUUAGUUAUCAUGUUUCUGAUUAAAGAUUGUAUAUUCAGAACUCGAAAUCAAAACUUCUGAUUAAGAAAUGAGCGGUCUCACUAUAUCUUCAGUUAAUAAUUGUUUAAGUAGUCAAUACUUUCCUCUUGUUUUGAUUUCUCGAACCGAGAUUCUCAAAUUAAAUUUUUAAUGCAUUUUUAUUGUUAAUUAAAGCUACGUACAAUUACUUUUUAAGUGUUAUGAAUAUAACAAAAUAUUUGUUUAUAUCACGAGUGUUUAAAAUUUAAACUCUGUUUAUAAAUAUAUAUAUAUAUAUAUAUAUAUNNNNNNNNNNNNNNNNNNNNNNNNNNNNNNNNNNNNNNNNNNNNNNNNNNNNNNNNNNNNNNNNNNNNNNNNNNNNNNNNNNNNNNNNNNNNNNNNNNNNNNNNNNNNNNNNNNNNNNNNNNNNNNNNNNNNNNNNNNNNNNNNNNNNNNNNNNNNNNNNNNNNNNNNNNNNNNNNNNNNNNNNNNNNNNNNNNNNNNNNNNNNNNNNNNNNNNNNNNNNNNNNNNNNNNNNNNNNNNNNNNNNNNNNNNNNNNNNNNNNNNNNNNNNNNNNNNNNNNNNNNNNNNNNNNNNNNNNNNNNNNNNNNNNNNNNNNNNNNNNNNNNNNNNNNNNNNNNNNNNNNNNNNNNNNNNNNNNNNNNNNNNNNNNNNNNNNNNNNNNNNNNNNNNNNNNNNNNNNNNNNNNNNNNNNNNNNNNNNNNNNNNNNNNNNNNNNNNNNNNNNNNNNNNNNNNNNNNNNNNNNNNNNNNNNNNNNNNNNNNNNNNNNNNNNNNNNNNNNNNNNNNNNNNNNNNNNNNNNNNNNNNNNNNNNNNNNNNNNNNNNNNNNNNNNNNNNNNNNNNNNNNNNNNNNNNNNAUAUAUAUAUAUAUAUAUAUAUAUAUAUAUUGCUUCAUCUUUUGAUUUGUAUAUAAAAAAGAUGAUCGAAGACGUCAAGUUAAGAGUUGCUAUUGUCAAAAAUUGCUUACUUUAUCAUAUUUACGUUAGUGAUGUUGCUUAUUGUCUAAUCUAAAUUUAAUACUUUUCAUCAAUUAAUGAAAUUGUGAUUCUUGUAAUCUAAAUUCAAUACUUACCAUUAGUUGACUCUAUGUUCAUUAUUGGUUUGUAUUUCCAUGUUUACACAUAAUGAUAUUUUUGUUUUUAUUUCUUAAUAUAUUUUUUGGAUUUCUAAAUAAUAAACUCACACGUAAUCUCAACGAAAAAUAAAAACAUAGUAAUUUUUUUCUUAAAAUUUGGUAUAUUUGUAUUUUUCAAUAAUAACUAUGAAAAAAUAUGAUCAACAAAUAAGUCAAGUAAAAUUUAAUCUAUCUGUAAUAUUUCUUUUAAAAUUUGUCCAAGUCAUUUUAAUCAACUAGACAAAAAAAAAUUCGAAACAAUUUCCAGAUUCAAACUCUCCACGUGCUUUAUAUUUUACCAAGUCAAGUGCGCUAGCUGCAAUAAAAAAUAAUGUGGAUAAGAAAACGAAUGCACAACAGUUUUUACACAGUUGAUGCUCCCUUGCUUCUUUCUUUUGAACCGGAGCUUACUUGGUAGUAAAAUAGUUCGUGAAAAUUAAAUAAGAUUUAUGUUAAGUACAUAAUAGUCAAGUCAAAUAAGCAAAAAUAAAUUUUAUUUUAUCGAUAAAGCCAAUCGCAAUUUCGCAAUUAUAGAUUAGCUUGUUAUACAAAAUUUCAAAGAAAUAAUUAUUGAGUUGUGUCACGUUCAAUUUGGAAUUGAUUCCCAAAAGAGGCCUAAUUGUUUUUUGUGUUCAAUAAAAAAUAAAAAGAUUCCUAAAUUGUACCAUGAUAUUCUCUAGUUAAUGUGAUUAAACUUUAAAUAAUUUGUGAAAGGACAACAAUAUCGGAAUUUUUUUCUUUUAUUUUAUUAGAGCAUAAAUAAAAUAAAUAUAUGCUUUCACAUGGCAGUACCGAAUUUUUAAAAAUAAUAUAAAGUUUAUUCAAUAUAAUAAUAAAAAUCAUUUAGCCUCCUUUUUUUCCACUCACAUAAAAAACAGAGAAAAAAACGGUAUGAGGAAGUUUUCCAAAAAGAAUUUCUUUAAAAUCUUUUUUCUGAUAUCCAAAAUGCAUUUUUUCUUGUUGGAAAGACUAGCUAAUUUUAAUAAUAAGAUACAUUCGAUAUUUGUGAUAAGGAUAAUAAUUUCGAGAAAAAAUUUGAUAUUAAUUUUAUCUGAUGUUUGGUGUGAGUUAUUAACUAAUCAAGCUUAUUUUAUUCAACUAUUUACACUAAAAUGAUACUAUUACUAUCCCAUAUAAAUAAAAAUAAAAUACUUUCAUAAAAUAUCUUAAUUUGAAAUAAGGAACACUUUUGAAAUAAAAUAAUUUCAUAAAAUAUCUUAAUUUAAAAUAAAAUAAUUUUAUAAAAUAUCUUAAUUUAUCUCAUCCCGCGUAGGCGCGUACUAAGCAAGCCUAAAAGAUGAGGAACCUUUUGAUUGAAUGGUCUUAUAUAUAUUAGGACCACUUUCCUUUAAUGGUCAAUAUUUUAUUAUAUUUUCCGAAAAGUAAAUGUGUCAUAAUACCAAUAAAGUUAUUGGUAAAAAAAAAUGUUUCUAACUUUCAAUAGUUCCAAAUAUUAAGUAAACAAAAAAUUAUACAAGGUGUAUAAUUUUAGUAUAUAACGGAUAUACACAAAUUAUAUAUUAAUUAUAUAUUGUCUAGUAACUAAGAAAUAUAAAAUAUAUAAAUAAUGAUCUCACAUAGUUAUAUUUUUAUUUCUAUUAAAAUAGAUUGUCCAAAAAGAAAAAGUUCAUAGAUUAUUGGUAAGAGAUUUAAUAUUAUUGUUUUGACUUUUAGUGAACAAUAUAGAUAAUGAUUGUAUUACCUAAGUGCAUAUGUAAUAUGUCUCUAUCUAAAUAAGUAGUGUACAAGUUGAAUUAGAAGACAUUAGAGGAUCAAUAUGAGUUGUGGUAUAAUGAUGAGAUUGUUUUAUUUUUAAUUAGAGAUUUCGAGUUUGAGCUUUGGGUAUAGAGAGAAUCUUGUCGAAAACGUCACCUCCAAAUGGGACAUGCAGACGAUCUAAUUUAGUCGAAGCUCCAAUGCAGAUUCCAAAUGCCAAAUUAAGAAAAAAAACAUAUUAAUGUGUUGAUGACGCAAAGUGCAAACAACAUUGAAUUCAAAUGUGCUAGACCAGUUUUUUAAUUAAAAAGGACACCAACUAUAUAUUAUAAAGAAAAAAGUGUGACCAAAUGCAAUUUAUAGUGUGUAGCAAUCAUUAGCUAUGGAUUCUUCCUAUACAAAGCACAAUUAUUUCAAAUAAUAAUUUAUAAUCAUAAUAGGUCCCAAUAUAUAUAUAUAUAUAUAACGAACUAACUAAUACUAUUUAAUUUGUUUAUCGAGGAGCAAGAAAAAAAUAUUUUUUUAAAGAAAAAUAUUCUAGAAUUUAUAAAUCGAAUUGUUGUUAGACUAGUAUAAUAUGGAUAUGUGGAGCUUAUCUUCAACUCCAUCGUAGAAUUAGAAGAACCGUUAAUUUUUUUAUAAGGAUAAAAGAAAACUAUGAAAAUAAUCAUAGUUAUAUUUUUAUCGAGAUUUUUAAAAAAAAAAACGUGAAUUCAUUCUUCUUUAUUAAAAAUAUAUACACGUGAGUGAAUAAUUUUUUGUUUCUAAUCUGCAUAUAAAUAUAAAUUUAUAAUUUAUUUGACCAAGCUUCUGAAAAAUUCAAACCAUUUAACUGUAAAACUAUGAAUGGUUAAAAUGCAACCAAGUCUUGAAGAGAAGAAUAAAUUAUAAAUGAUAGCCAAAUCAACAAUUUUUAAUUUUAUUUUCAUGAUUUUUCAUAAUGAAUUAUGUAUAACUUAUAACAUGUCAUUCUCUUGAAAAACUUGAAAAUUUGGGUGAACGGGCCUUAAACAACUGGGCCAGGCCCAAACUACAAUGGGUUGGGUGACAAGAGCUAAUUACCCCACAGCCCAUUUUUUGUUCAAAUUCUGUUUCUUGGCAAUUUUGUGUAGUAACUAUUUUUAAUCUUUAACAAAAACAACUUUUAGUUAAGUAGACACGACUAGACAAGAUGACGCAACUUCAAAUUAUCGAGGACAUGAUUCUAGAUAGGAGAGUGAAAAUUGCGUAGUGGAUAAAGGUUUAGUUGAUGGUGGAUGUUGUCUUACUUUUCGAGAGGUUCAGGCAUCUUGGUGUACAUCAUUGUACUAGUUGUAUUCUCUUAGAAUAGUUCUUGUUUUUAAUAUCUAUCAUUAUUUGUUUAUUAUGUUUCCAUUACUGCAAUUUUUUAUUGUUGUUCUUAUUGCUUCUCUUAUUAGUCGUGAUAUUUCUUCACUAUAUCUGAAUUUGUUGCACUUCAAUCGAAGGUCCUUUAGAAACAACAUCUCUACCUCCGCAAGGAGGUAGUAAGGCCAACCUACACUCUACCCUCUAAGUAAAGAGUGGGAAGAGCACCUCGCAAGAGAACACUGUGACACAGUGAGAAGUGUUCCCAUCGGGUUUCCGACCCUCCAGGUCUCCACCUACUAAACAAACUUGAGUAUACAUGGAUCGACGGAGUAGUUAUUACAUCGACUUAAACCAAUGUUCUUCCGACCAAAUAUGUUGAAAAUUUAAGGCAUUUCUAAUAAAGAAAAUGAAAUGAAGACAAGAAAUCAACAAACACAAUCACUAAUGCAUGUGGAUUUUUCUCCUUUCCUCCCUCAGCUGUUCUCCAGCCCCUUUCCUCGGGGGAUCAUCACUUCACUUCCUUGGUGACUCAAACUUGGAACCUCAAUAAUAGAGGUGGAGGGUGCUCACCAGUCGAGCAACCCCAACCCUGCCUGUCCCGGUUUAUUGUUUGCUUCAUCGUUUAGUGAAACACGAUUCUAUAUAGAAGUGUAUAGUUAUCAACAUCACUAAAUUUGCAGGAUAAAGAUCUUAAACCAAGCUGCCUCUUGACAUCCAUUCAUAAUUCAUACAACCACAGCACAGAAACUACAGCAUGAGGAAAGGUUGGCUCAAAGAAGAACUGCUCUCAAACCAAACUAAGAGCAAAUUUUGAACUAUACUAAAGUUUGGUGCAGUGGAAAUCAUGGUGCUUAGCCAGAGAAAACCAAGAAACAGCUAAGGAACAUAUGCAGCACAUUCACUGCAACAACUAGAAGAUAAAUACGAUUUCGACGAGAUAACUGCAGUAAUGGUGGUGUUGCAAGUUCUGUUUUCCUAGGGAAAGCUUUCAGCCAUUCAUAUGCAUCUUAUUUUCAUUAUUAUUUAUGUCCAAACCUUUUAAGACGCUACAAGUUACAUCUUAAAAUCCAAAAGCAAGUAGCGACCGUCAGAAGAUAUACAUAUAUAAUACAAAUAUCACAUACAAAGUCAGAUUGAUGGCAGCCCAAUGUAGACCACCUUCUGAUACACUUCUUGCCCUGCAUUUUAGUUUUACAUUUUUCUAUAUCCUAUUUGAAUAUUAUUAAGCGCAACUACUGUACAUUGGGGAGAUGUUACCAGAAACCAUCAUCAACGGCCACUGCAGAUGGAGGAUAAGGAUCAUCCUCUUCUUCCAUCUCCAAUUCUGGUUCAGGGGAUCCGAAUUCAGUCAGCUCAACAGCAGCAAGGUUCUUUAGGUCAAUGAUUGAGAGCUCAUCAAGGUGCCUCACGACCAAGUCAGCAGCACCAAGCUCAUACACUGGAUGUUUGCUGGCAACAGCGACACACUUCAUCUGAGCAUCAUGUGCAGCCUCCACAGUUUGAUUUGAGUUCCCGAACACAAUACACCUCUCUGGUAUGAAUUGUAGAAGCUGUGAUGCAUAGACAAACAUCUCCGGAUCAGGCUUCCCUCUGUGAACAUCCUCUGCGGCUACAAUGACACUAAAAAUCCCUUCAAAGCCAAUGGUACCAAUUGCAUUCUCGACAUACUUUCUUGGGCGUGUAGACACUAAAGCCAUUGGCACCUUGUAGUGCAUCAGGGUACUGACAAACUCCUGUGAUCCAGGUCGGAAGCUAUAAAUUCCCCCCUGCAGGCCUUGAUAAAUAUCCUCCUUCCGAGUAGCCAUUCUCUUCACUUGAACAGGAUCUCUUGACCAGCAGAGAACUUCUGAUAUCGCUUGCUCAUUCUUCAUUCCUUCAAUUCUCUUCAAAAUAAAACCCGGAGGCGGUGAUUUUCCUUCUUCCUGAGACAGAGCUAACCACGCUUGCUUCUCAAGAUCUGGAUUGUCUUCAGUUAACACACCUUCCCAUUCAAAUAUAGCUGCUAACCAUCCACAGCCCAUCCUCUCUUGUCUAAGCAAUGGAUUAUGAAGAGCUGGAUUAUCAGCUUUAUUCGUUGGUGGCCAUUUCCCUGGCUUUUUAUCCACAUCAGUCUCAAUCCUAUAACGGAAAUCUUUCGAUAAUCUCUCGUCCUCUCUGUACGAAAAUGCCUCUUUGGUUAAUUCCAUCGCCUGACCUCUAAUCAACGAAUACCUCACACAAUCACCUCUUAAUCUCAGUAAAUUAGAACCACAAACAAGCUUUCUGCCAAGAAAAUCGGCAGAAGGUAAUCGACAUACAUCAAUCGACUUCCGUUUACUCGACACAUCUUUGCUACAAUUAACUCCAUAAACUGGCACCCUCCCUAAGAGUGAUAUUGCACCAAUUGAUUCAACCAUCCUCACUAACUAAUCUUCCACCCCAACAACACCAAAUCUUUAACUUCAAAGAAUCAAACUUUCCACCACAAAACCUCUCAAAUCACCCCAACUUAACACAAUCUCAACAAAUCCCACAAACCCAAUAGAACUUUCAAACUCCCCCAAAUCACCACAGAACUAAAGGGACAAAAGGGAACAAAUAAAGCAACCCUUUUAACAAUAAAGAUCCAAACUUUACUCAAUACCCAUCAUUAAACAACACAAUACAACCCAAAUUUCGUCCACAACACGCCAAUUCAAGAAUCAACACGUAAUAAGUAGAUUACUUAAAGGAAAAGGAAAGAUAAGAGCAACCCACCCAAACCCAAAUCAAAA
RNAcentral lists this long non-coding RNA (57524 nucleotides) under Solanum tuberosum (potato). RNAcentral's name for it is "long non-coding RNA (STUB_LNC008608)". Lineage: Eukaryota; Viridiplantae; Streptophyta; Magnoliopsida; Solanales; Solanaceae. The record is from RNAcentral.